GAUGGCCGUGACCUAAGUUGUGAUUUAAGAUGUAGCACUGCUCUUUGAUUAUUUGACAAUACAGAAGAGGAAUAUGUAAAAUGAUGUUGUCUAAUGACUACAAUGGAAAUCUCUUAGAUUUGAAGGAACCAUUUGAUCUACGGGAUGGUUGGCUUCUUUGGGCAGGAGUUGGUCUCCUGGGUGCAUUAAUUGCUAUUGCACUAACAGGAUUUGCCUUGAACAUCUUUAGUGGUGAAAAUCCACAAAGAGAGGUUAGAUCCUGCCUAUGGUCAUUUGUUGUUAAACAAUUUAUUUUUUCUGUACAAGUACCUAUUAUCAUUUUCUUUUAAGUUCUUACAACUGUUCAAUAUGCUUCCUGGUUGUCUUGUGUUUUUCUGGAUUGGAAUAUGUUCUUUUGUUAUAAACCAAACUCUCUCAGAUCUGGUUGGUCAGUUAGCUGAACCAUUAAAGAAAAUUGAUGGGUUUUUUUUUUUGCUAUUUGUUAUGAUAAAGAAUAAUCAGUCAGUAACAAGGAAAUAUAUUGGUAAUCUUAGGGGUACAUUUCAUUUGUAGAAAAAGAGUCAAAUGCAUGGAUCAGGUUAUCUUGAAUAUAUGUCUGACAUUUUCACCUUGCCAUCUUGGCCAGUCAUGAUGGAAGAGGUUCGAAUUUUGCAAAACCUGAUGGCACGAAGAGUUCUACACCUAUUAAUAUAAUAAUCGAUACAAUUUUCCAUCUUGAGUUCAAUAUUCCUGCAUAGCAUAAUUACCAAAUGCUGUCAUAGAUAAUGCUGAUAAAAGAUUUCAUAUUUCCUAAUUUCUCAAAGUUCAUUUAAGCCACAUAUCACCCCAGAUUAUAUAUUUACUACCUUAAGUUGUUUAUUAGUAGUUUAAUCUGUAACUUCUAGACUAUAAAAAAACUAACUUAAUAUUGUAUUAUGCUGUGGAAGUUUCUAAAUUCAUUGAAUAAUUUGGUGCAGACUGAUGCUUUAAUUCGAUUGUUGCCAUUGAUUGGUUCUUCAGGUAUCAGGUAUUGUUUUCUGUCUCUAUCCUGAAAACAGAAGAUAAUGAAGUGGCAAGAUCCAUGGCUAAUUUUAUGAAAUUACUUUUUGUUGUAGCACUGCUUGUCUACUGGGCAUUACUGGUGUUUUAGCCCCAGUUCUUGAGGAGACCAUCUUCCGUGGAUUUCUCAUGGUGUCUCUAACUAAAUAGUACAUUCCAUGUGCCAACAGUAUAUUUCUAUUUAUUUGUCAAUUAUAAUUAUAAUUGUUGUUUGGGGCAUUCUAUAGUGUGAAUUAUUUAUUUCUGUUUGACAAAUUAUUCCUAACAUAUUGGAGUCUUUUAGCUGUUGAUGUAGAAAGAAUGUCUAGCACAUUUUUAAAGUAGCACUGAGAUCUGAAUUGGCUAUUAGCGAUCAGCCAUCUCCAAUUAGAGAAAUAUGGAAUUUGCAAAAAAUUGAUAGUCAAGGUUCAAAUCGAACAAGAGUUGACUGAAUAUAUUGGGAUUGUGACUUUGGGUUAGAUCGGUGAUUUUGGCUAUUCUAUGUUGAUUACACCUAACCUUAUCCCUCACGAUGUGUGGUUGCAAUCAUGUCAGAUUUAGGCUAAGAUGCUUAAAGAAGGGAAGGGAAGAAAGGAGAGAAGUGCUGGGAAGAAAGAGAAGUGAGAGAGGGUGAAAUUGGAGAAGGAAAAGGGAAGCUUGAGUAGAGGGGUAGAGAGCAGAAGCGGACAUACUAUGCAUGCCACCACCCGCGAGCCAUCAUCUACCGCCCUUUAGGUGGUUGCAAACCACUGAUUCAUUGCUAGAUCUUGAGCCUUGCUGAUUGUAAAUCACUUGGCUGUUGGCUCACCAUCAUCGCCUUUUCAUAUAUCAGAGUUUUUAGUAGAUGUUACAGUCGUUUAUCAUAGUUGACUCUAGACCUUCCUGUGUAUGUCAAAACAUGUUUUGAGAUAAAAAGAUAUUUUACUUUAAUUAUCUUUUGUAAAGAUAAUACGUUUUGUGUUUUGAUAUAUUAAUAUAUAUUUAGUUGUAAUAUGAAAAUAUAAUAUAUCAUGGCCAAUCACGCAUGUAUGCUUAGUAAAACCAAAUGGGUAUUCCUUAAACAAGAAAAUACUGUGUUUAAUUGUAUCGAGAGUAUAAACUCAUACUUCACUGCACUGAGUUCUUUUCAUCUUGUGAGAUUUCUUCUAGACAAGGUAAACUUCCCACUUCCAUUAUUAUCUUAUUUAUAUCCAAGUUAGAAUAGAAGUUAAAUCUUGUGCAGGGCACAUACUAAUAUUGCAACCUAUGUGUGUGACUUCACAGAUGUUUAGAAUCAGAGCUAUAUAAAUUUUUCCGUGGGAUCUUGGUAGCUGAUACCCUAUACCUGAACUUCGUUUAGUAAUUACUGUGUUUUUUGUGUGCAAUAGCAUAUCUAUGCCUUCAUGGUUCCUGAAUUUCCAUUGUUUAUGCAGCUUGUCAACACCAAUUUCUGUGAUUAUAAGUGCAGCCAUAUUCGCAAUUGCUCAUCUCACUCCUGGAGAAUUUCCACAGCUGUUUGUCCUAGGUACGACUUUGUUUCUUUAAUCAGUCGGCUGAGGUCCACCUCAUUACAUUAGGCAACAAUGUGUAGCUUUAACUUUAAUGUUUAACAGUCAGAGACUGCCUUGUGGCUGAUCAAAAGUUCUAUGUACGUUCAUGAUUACAUUUGCUUUUCUGAUUACCAUUUUAUGGAAUAGCUUUUUAAUCAGCAAGCUGUGGUCCACCUCAUUAAAUAAGGCAGCAGAGUGUAGCUUCAACUUUGAUGUUUCCUCUAACGGUUAGAAAGUGUCUUGGGGGUUUAUUAAAAGUUUUAAUAAAUGUUUUUGUUUAAGUCUGCAUAUCUGAUUACAAUUUUAUUCAACUAUGCUUUUGUAAGCCAGGGUCAAUUUUCAACUAGCUAAAUAUUGCAGCACUCUUAACAAAUGCAAUAGAAAAAUUAUAUAAAUUUUAAUGCAUGCGGAUUCUAUACAUACUACUGGAGAACAUGAAUAAUAUGGUAAAUAUAUCUGUUUUUUCUUACACAAAAAACAAUAAUGUGGUGAAUGUUUCCCAAGCUUUCCAGUUGACAAUUUACUAGUAUGUAAGCAUGACUGUGGUUAAUUAUACAAUCUGCUUUCAUGAGGGUUCCCAACAACUUACAAAAACCAGAAGAAGAGGAGUAGCUUUUACAAGCUUUUUGAGCUUUUUUAGUUUUAGGAUUCUAUAUUAUCUUUAUAAAAAAUAUGUGUAAUUCUCUUGCGCCCGAUAGCUACAUAAUAUAUCACAUCAGUCAUGUGUGCACUAAUUAGUUUUAUUCAAAAUUCUUUAUUUGAAAAUGUGAGUUUUUUACUCUUGUUUCAUUGAAUUUGAACAGGGACUGCUUUAGGAUUUUCAUAUGCUCAAACUCAUAAUCUUCUAACACCAAUCACCAUACAUGCACUCUGGAACUCGGGGGUGAUUUUAUUGCUCACCUUUCUUCAGGUACACUUGAUCGUUCCUUUCUAGAUCUUCUCAAUCUCCGUUGUAAUUAUUUUAGCAAAUAGCAAACCAUAUCUUCAUGUGUUAUAUAUGAUCUCUUUUGACAUCGUAAUUAUUUUAGCAAAUAGUAAACCAUAUCUUCAUGUGUUAUGUAUGAUCUCUUUUGACGUUCUCCAAAUGAUUAAAAUAUGAAUGUAUAAAACCAUGCUUGCAUGCGUUAAUGUAUCACAUUCCUAGUUACCUGUAAGCCCCGUUUUUUCUGCUGCAUACAGGUUCAAGGAUACGAUAUCAGGGAGCUUCUACAAGCAUCUUGAAGCGGUCUCUGGAGUACUGGGAGUGUGUAGCUACUUUGUUCAUCUGGACCUAUUUAUUUUAUUUCCUUCUUGGCCUGCUCUUGUAUAGCAAGUGGAAGCAAAGGUAUUUGGUGAUCACUACUUGUGCGUGUACCUUUGCUGAACACUUGACAUCCUGCUUAAUAUCUUAUUCAUGCUGGUGGUUUUAGAAGGUGUGGAAAUUGAGAAAAGUUAUAUGGUUGGAUUGGCUAGAUUUUGGCCUGGUUGAGCAGAAGGCUGUCAUAGAAAUUGUUCUUUUAUGAUUUUACAAUUAACAAAAUCAAAAAACCGCAUGGUGGUUUAGUUUGAACUAAAAUUAUCGAAUUGUAUCAAUAAAGUUUGUCUUGUUUUGAGCUGAAGAAGCGUAUACAUAAAAUUGUCUUCGAUUGGUUGCCACAUAAGUGCGUUGACAUUGAGAGCUCAGGCCGCUGGGUGAACCUAAUGGCUGUCGACUAAUGAUGGACGGAGUAGAACGCUAAUGGCUGUCAAGUUGUUCGAGCGAGUGGCGACGUCGAAUGGUCUAAUAAUGUCUUGUCCUAUUCGCUGCCUACUUUGAUGUAAAGUGGAGUACCAAAGAUAUGCUCGGCAACGAUCCGGUCACUCUUACCCAACUUCCUUUGUAUGAAGCAGCGAUGCCUUUCGCUUCUCCAAUCGUGCGGUUCCAUGGACGAGCUCCGCCAAAUCCACGCCCGCCUCCAUUCCUCCGGCUUCGCCGGCGACAAGUUCCUCAACAGCGAGAUGCUUCGCUUCUGCGCCCUCUCUCCGCGCGGGGACCUGUCCUAUGCCAGCACGCUUCUCCUCUCUGCCGCUGACACCAUGCUCUCCUCCUGGAACCAUGUCAUCCGCGGGUACAGCCAGAGCGACUUCCCGAGGGAAGCCACACUUGUAUUUCUCCACAUGCGACGCCGUGGGCUGAGACCCAACGAGUUCACCUUCCCCUUCGUGCUCAAAGCCUGCGCCAAGAUCAUGUGUCUCCUUCUUGGAAGACAAGUCCACGCAGAUACGCUAAAGAAUGGCGUGCAUCCCGUCGUUUACGUGCAGAACGCUCUGAUGAACCUGUAUGGCUCCUGCAGGCGGAUGGAUGAGGUGCGGAGGCUGUUUGAUGGAAUGUCUCUUAGAACGGUGGUCUCAUGGAAUACCGUCCUGUCUGUCUGCGCUGACAACGCGCUGCCGGAGGAAUCGAUCGACAUCUUUGGUCAGAUGAGGAGUUGUGGAUUUGAGCCGGAUCAGACCACGUAUGCAAUCUUGCUCUCUGCAGCAGCUGAGCUUGGGUGCCUGAGCUUUGGAAGAUGGCUUCAUGGACAACUCAUCGGAAGCAAAUUGGUGCUCAAUGUUCAGCUGGGAACCGCCCUAGUAAACAUGUAUGCAAAAUGUGGAGCUGUAAGAUAUGCCAGCCGUGUCUUUGAGAGAAUGGCGCUGAAGAAUGUAUGGACUUGGAGCGCUAUGAUUCUGGGACUCGCGCAGCAUGGUUACGCUAGCCAAGCUAUCGAGCUCUUCGAUCAGAUGGGGAAUGCUUCGGUCAAACCAAAUUAUGUGACAUAUCUCGCUGUGCUCUGUGCUUGCAGCCAUGCCGGCCUGGUCAACGAAGGGUACAGAUUCUUCCAUGAGAUGGUGGAAGAACAUCGGAUUGAUCCAACGAUGGCACACUAUAGUGCCAUGGUUGAUGUGCUCGGCCGCAAGGGAUGUCUGCUUGAAGCUUACCACUUCAUACGAAGUAUGCCAUUAGAACCCGAUGCAGUUGUCUGGAGGACGUUACUUAGCGCUUGUCAGUUGCAUGUUGCUAAAGAUGUGACAGGUAUCGGGAAGGAUGUGAAGAGGAUAUUACUAGAGUUGGAGCCCAAACGAAGUGGAAAUUAUGUAAUGGCUUCCAACUUGUACUCGGAAGAGGGAUCAUGGGAGGAAGCAGCUAAGGUGAGAAGGGUGAUGAGAGAAGAAGGUUUGAAGAAGGUGCCCGGGGAGAGCUGCAUCGAAGUGGGUGGACGGAUCUGUAGGUUCAUUUCAGGGGAUGAAUCUUGCAUCAAUUUCGAGGAUAUCUGCCAGAUAUUAGAUGGACUGAAGUUGAACAUGAAAAUGCCCUACUCUUAUCUCUAUGGAUUCUAUUGAAGCUCCCAUGUAUGCUCGACGACAACAACUGGUUUGUAACAAAGCUACAUAUCAUUGUAGAUGAGUGAUCAUGGGGCAUCGUCACAGAUACAGAGAGAUCCUGUGCAAGACAUACAAUCGUUAAGGAUUAGCAAAGCUAUAGCUUUCUUUGCUUUACAUUUUACUAACGCAUCUUCUUCCUCCAAAAACGCAAGUGUUCUUCACCGGUUGCAGAUGAUAUCACGCAGAGACGAAUACGUGCCAAUUACUGCAACAAGAGAUCCCACAACCACGAUUCCCAGAAUAUUUACCAGCUCGAGUCGCCGGACUUGGGAGACCCCAUGAAUCUUGAGGUAGCAUACGCAUGGGAACAACACCGAGACCACCACGCUCAGAAAGGAGCCAACGAAAGCCAUGAGGUACGCGAAGAAAGGAAUGGCGAGUGCUAUGACCACCGUGCCGCAGAGUAAGAGAGUUCGGAUCAGGAGACUAGGCAUCUUCCCCGGCAUUCUCCCUCGGCAAAGUGCCAGCUGUUGUUCGAUUGCCCCAGAGAUUGGAGACAUUGCCAACGCAAACUUGGUAAUAGGAUUUAUCAGUGUCGUAUAGAUUGCGAUCCUCGUGUAGGGCUCCCCGGCAGGAAGAUUGAGUGUCACCUGGGACUCCAGCUUCUCACCAUACAUAAGGUAUCCCAGAAUUGCCAUCAAAGCAUAGUUUAUAGUACAUAGGACGAACGAGAUUGAUACCACCUGUGAUGAGCCAAGAAGAAAGGUUCAACACGACGAUAACCAGUGCGCAGGCAAGAAAAGAAUUGAAAGUUCCCGCACUUACCUUGGGAAACCGAGUGCUGUCUCUCAUCGAAGAACUUAUGGUAGGAAAUACUGCGUGGCAAGUGAAGCACAUGAAGAACAAGCCCAUAGCAGUGGGUAAUCCAUUCAGGUCCAGAAUUCUGCCCUUCUCGUGAAACCCGGUGUCAACGAUGCCUGCCCAGAGCAAGGAACCGAGCAGAACUGCCGAUGCCAACACUCCUCCUGCGGAGACAUAGGCGAGAAUGCCCAAGUUCCGUGGCCAUGUGGUAGGAAGAAUCACCAGUGCAGACAACAAGAUGAAGAGCUGCUUCCCCUGCACGCUUACCGACGCGAACUUCAAACAAACGCCGGGAAACAACUUGUCUAGGUUGUCACCUUCCAUGAUCAGGAACCCAACUGCGACGAGGUAGAGCUCAAGAUACAUGAAGAUAGAGAUGACAAGCUUGCCUUUGCGCCCGAAAGCAUACUCUCCGAUAUCGGGAUAGGUUUUGAUGCACGGAUCAGCAUCCAUACAUCGUUGAAUGAGAAGGCCUGUGUAGUAACAAAUACUCGAAACAAGGACAAAAAUCGCUAAGCUUAGCCACCCUCCGAGAGAGAGCGCAUAGGGCAACGAUAGCACGCCAAUUCCUGCACAUGAAACAGCAACGGAUUAAUUAAUGGCCCCAAGUUCUUAUAUUCUUAGCAGAAGAUUAAAGCUAGGACUAGAACUUGCACUAAUAACAAGCGAGACAAAGGAGGGAGAGCACAGACCCGAGAACAGAGAGAGAGAGAGAGUACCUGAGAUGGCAUUGCUGAGAUUGAGACAAGUCCUGGCGAAGGAAGUGCCAUGUUUGGUGUCACUUGUUCUAGACGAAAGAAAUCCGUCGUCACUGUGAGUUUGGAGGAGGGAUUUCCUAAGGUCGGCAGCAUCAUCUUCUUUAAUGACCACUACGAAUUGUUCGUUGGGGUCUGUCAUCGGUAGUAAGAGUUUACCUUCCUUAGACACACUCUACUCGAUAUAUAGGACUCCAAAACCGCGUAACACACGUGCAAAUCAUUUUUUUUCCCCCAAAGGUAAAAAAAAAAUACUAUGUUAAUUCAGAACACAAAUAUUGACUCUGCUACGAAGAUCAGCAAACGAAAAACGUGAACAAUUUGCUAGUUAGUCUCUUUUCCAAACAAAAUGCCAAAAUGCAGACCAUGAUCAGACUACAAAUAGAUUUUAUAUAUAUAUAUAUAUAUAUAUAUAUAUAUAUAUAUAUAUAUAUAUAUAUAUAUAUAUAUAUAUAUAUACUAUGUUAAUUCAGAACACAAAUAUUGACUUUGCUACGAAGAUCAGCAAACGAAAAACGUGAACAAUUUGGCAGUUAGUCUCUUUUCCAAACAAAAUGGCAAAAUGCAAACCAUGAUCAGACUACAAAUAGAUUAUAUAUAUAUAUAUAUAAUAAUAAUAACAGCACUGAAAAUACACGAGGAAAUUAUGGUGAGUCAUCCAUAAUUUUCUCAAAUUCCAUCAUGUGAGUAAAGUACAACGCGUGCACAUUUCCAUGUGUAUAACGAGGUCGGUCCGCCGGCAACUUUGACGAGGUUGUGGUAGAAAGGGAUACUAUCAUUAAACUGACCUUCUACAGUAAAAUUCUGCCAUGCUGUAAUGUGUACCCGAGUAUUGAAUUCUGUCGAUCCAUAAGUGCUUUCAGACUAGGAUUUCUGGUCCACAUUAGCUCUAGAAAUCAUAAAAUAUUUGUCAACUCUUAGAAUAAAGUGUGAACGUUAUUGAUUGGCCGGUCUCUUUAGGUUGAUGCAUUGAUGAUUGAUAGAUUUGUGUCCGUGCACAAAACAGCCUUUGUGGGUUGAUAGAUUGAUGAUCAAUAAUUGAUAGAUUUGUGGAGGUGAACAAAACAGAUGGUUGUAGGAGAAUUGCCUCCCUCUCUCUAUGAUUGAUCCGUCAUUUUAGGUUAAUAGAUUAAUGAUGGGUCGAUUUUUGUAUGUCCAUAAAAUAGUCUUUUUAGGAUGAUGGAUUGAUAGAUGAUUUGUGUAAGUGAAAAUAUAUGGUCGUAGGUGAAUGCCCUCCCUCUCUCUCUCUCUCAAUCACCAUACCACUGCACUUGGUAUGAUCUUAAUUGAAAUUUGGAAACUCUGUGAGGGCUCAUAGCUUGAUUUUAUAUUAUGCUGGAAUUUGAUUGGUAUAAUCCAAACUGGAUAUGUUUUUGAUGUACCGAGUUUGAGCUAUAUUGAAUUUUACUUGUUUCACAAGAAUCUAAAAAACAGAUAAAAUUUAAAUAAUUAAGCAUAAAUUUCAUCAACUAUAAUACUACCUCAAGCUUUGGUACCAAAUCCAUAUAAAAAUUUAUUCUAAUAACAAAUUGAUAAGAUUUCUUCCGGACAGCCUUCUUUCUCUUCUCUGAAAGGUAUCUUGGAAGGGAGAAGAAAUCGAGAGGAAAACAUUAAACAAACAAAAAGAUUGGGAUAAGAUGAGAAGAGAGAAGAUCCACUCAAGAAGUAUGACGUGUAGACUCUGAUAACACGUCACAUUCAUAUGCUAAUAUAUCUAAUUGAUUCCCAAUUGCACAAGCAUGAAAACAUGUUGUCAACAAGGAUGCCGAUUCUAUAUUAUAUUACAGUCCAUUCAGUUGCGACAAUAACUGGCGAUCGUAAUGUCUGUCUGAAUGAGCUGUUAACUCAUGAUUGCAACAUCAAUGAUUUGGCGGACAAUAUCAUCGGUCGAUAACAUGUGAGCAAUCUAUGUAAGCAUUCCCAACAUUAGUUAGUGAUUAUCUUGGUUUAAUGGUCACCUUACUACACACUAUAGUGGCUCAUUCAUGUGAGCCACAAUCUCAUAUUCUUUUAUUACAUUUUGGAAUCAUAUUAAUUUAUUACUGAUUUAAAUAUCGGAUAAGCUUUGUUCAAUGUACUCCCAAUAUAGUUUUUUAGGAUUGUCAAUUGAAUCCUCAAAUCUUGAUACCUCUAUACGGAACAAACACUAAAUUGAACCUUGAUUGGGCCUUCUCGUAUGUUUGAUAAUCAAAUUUUACUUUGAAUGAGGAGUGAUAUAAAUAUUAUAUUUAUAACUUCAAUAUUGAUUUGUUUAUUAUACCUUAAAUAUCGAUCUAAUAGUAUAUGAGAUUCACUUACCAAAAGUUUAGUUCAAAAUAACUUUCAAGAGUGUCAAAAGACUUCGAUGGCUUAUCAAUACAUACAUACAUACAUAUAAAUAUAAUUAUUUAUCUAAUUUAAUCCUUUGAAUAAAGAACGAAAAAAUGUUCACAAUCAUAAAUAUUAAGGAAAAUGAUCACCACAAAAUUCAUUGAUUAGAAGACCAUAGAACUCUUAUAAUACGAGUCUAAUUUGUUAAAUAAACAACCUGUUAUUAUAUCUAUAUUAGGCUAUCGAGUAUUAAAUUAAAUAGAAGUAAGAUUCGUAUCAAAAUUUUCUUUGACCAUAAGGACAAAAAGUACUUGAAAUUCCUAUUUUAACUAUCAAUAGGCUAAAAAGUUAGUCUUGACUUAGAUAUGGACUUAGACGGACUUUAGUUCAUUCAUCUUUUAGCUUAGUCUAGAUGUCGUUGGAAAAAUAUGUUGAAACGAAAUAUUCUUUUUCCUCUUUGUAUAUCAAGAUGGGUUCCUCAUCAAAAUACAAACUUGAUAUCCAAAUGAAAAUAUCAACCAGCACAACAUAAACAAUAGAGAAAAAAUCAAUCACACAGUGAGACCAAAUAUUUUAACGUAAAAAGCCCAAUGUAAGAAAAACCACGGGACCGUAGUCCACUUCAAACUUUCACUAUCAAUAGUAAUGAUAACAGAUUUACAAUAGAUCAUAAUAACAUCAGGAACAUAAAUAUAAGUUCUAGCACGAUCUCCUCAAAAUAGAAUUUUAGAUCUCACGAAGUAGAUAUAGUAGGAAAGUAUCUUAGAGAGAGUAAACUGUAGAUCAACACCGUUAAGAUUAUAGAGUUUACUGCAAUGAUUUUCCACAUAAAAUUUGGAUCGAAAUUGAUAACAUUUGGCCACCUAUCAUAAAGCAAAAAACUUAGAAAUCUAAUCUUUUUCUCUCUCUUUCUCUCUCCUCUUUUCUCUGCAUGCCGCCGGACGCUGCACGCUCACCUGCACACACGGACGCUGCCCUGUCUAAUUUUAGACAUUUCUCUCUUAAUUAUUGAUUUGGGCUUAUGGCCCAAAUUGUCCAAGCUGGCUGGACCCAACAGAUGUAAGGAUUAAUCAAUUGUCGAUCUCGUAAAUGUAACAGGGCGAAGUAACAAUGCAUAACCCUAUCUAUCUUCUUCCCUCUUUUCUUAUUUUCGCUCUCUUUUCUCCCACUUUGAUUUCUUUCUUUUAAAAGUAUACUUUCUUCCCACAAACAAAUGAAAGACAGUUGAUAGGAACGUGUAAUUCUAUUAAUUUGAGAUUGUGAUAGGAAAAGUGGCUAGGCUGACAUGUUGGUGGUUUUUUUUUUUUCGGUUAAUAUGUCAAUACAGUAUGAUCGACACAUUUAUAGUAUAUCAUCGAUAUGAUAAGACUAUAUAGUCAAUAUGCCGGUCAUACUUAACCAAAACUUGACUCCAUGUAGUCGAUACAUCAAUGUCAUGUGUUCGAUGACUCAACUCACGUGACAAAUAUUUAUAGACCAUGCGGUUGACACAUCGAUACUAUAUGGCAAACAACGUGGUAUUAAGUGAUUGAUAGGUCGGGUAUAUAUAAUUGAUACUUCAGUAUCACAAGAAUAAAUCCUGGGCCUUGUGGGAUGACAUGUUAACAACAAACGAAUUCCACGUGAUGAGCACAUUAGCUUCCUAUGAUUCCAUGUUCUCUAACCAGCUAGUCGCCCUCCAUGUGUUAGAAAACUAUGUAAUCCUAAGUUCAACGUGUGCUAGUGAUAGUUACGAUCGAAAUCGACACUCAACAUUCGCACGAAUGAUGCACUAUUCAGAGGUAAUGACGUUGAUCACCCACUGUAAAAGGGCCCCACAGAUACAUCUUAAUACAUAAAAAUUAAAAUUCUAUUUGAUUUAUCUAACUUAUCUACUUAUUUAAGUAUUGGAGGGAUAUCAUCGAAAGUGUCUCGAGAUUCGAAUGACUAUAAGAGAAAUUCAACUUGAAAGUAGCUUCGAAGAACGAUCUGGAUCAAAUAUCAUUUUAGAUAAUUAAAAAUUGAUCUAACAUGUAUGAGCUUUAAGAUGCUGUUGAUUUGAUUAGAUUUGAAACGAAAAAGUUGUUGAUUUGAUAGAGUGAAUUAUUAAAGAAGAUAAUAGCUAAGAGAUUUAAGAUGAAUCGAUUAAAAAGCUUCCAAAUGUAUUAUCACCUUUGGGAUAAAAAAUGAGACUUUGGGGAAGUGCUAUGCUGUAAAAUUUCAUAUCCUUUUUCAUCGGUCAUGGAGCUCAUAAUAAGCCAAUGAAUCCGUACAAAUUUCCAUCGGGUUGACAACUCCCUCGGUGAGAAUUGACGAAUAGCCCGAAGGGGUCACAUAAAAUGCCUCAGGCGAUCAAAUCUGAGGGGUCCCAAUGUCACAUCGACGCCCCAAUUGUUUAUGCAUUGAUUAAUAGAUCGACGGGAUCAACUCCGAGACGACUGACUGCCUCUCCUCUCAUGACCCCUUCGGCAACCCAAGCUACCGUUAGCCGCCCUCCCCCCCAAUAGCUGCCCAAAGUUGUCAUUUGGUCGGUCAAUAAAAGCUUAAAAAUAUUUAUGUAUAUGAGAUAAAAUACGUUAAGAGGAUAAUUUCACAUGAAUAAAUUUUUUUAAAAAAGAGAGUCAAAUUACAUAUAUUAGAUCUAAAAAAAUUAAAAUUUUUAGAUUAAAUUAAUAUAUGUUCUUCUUAUAUUGCAUCGAGAAGUUAAUAGCAUGAAUGAAGUAGAAGAGAUCCUACAUGUAUUGUAUGGGCAACAGUUGCUGUGGCACCGUGGUGUCCAAUCCAAUCACACAAAGUCGCAUUAUUACUAGUACUCUGGACGAGCCCUCGUGGUUUUAACGCUAAUGAUGACAUGGUUGUACUGGUCGGGCCCCCACACCCCCAACCCUUGUUUUUGCCUCUCCGAGUGCUAUAUGUGCAUGGUUUUCAUUCAACGCCGUGGCUGCAACGUACGACUGUGUUAAGCCCCGGCGCAGAUCGAUUUGGCUGCUUGCUGCUUGACUUAUAAGCACUGCAAUUAUGCAUGCGCGGGAUGGAAGAUCAACAAGCAUUGGGAUUUCAUCGUCACUUACACAAUGGGUUCAGAUUGCAUGAUAUAAAUAUAUAUAUAUAUAUAUAUAAGCUAGAUUUCUUAUUCAUUAGAAAGCUAGAUAGGAAAAAUAUACAUAACAGCCUGUUGGCUGAACUGAUUCAGCUACAGAGAUGAUUCGUCGGGAACGUCCAAAAUGCCUGCCUGCCUGCCUUCAGUACGUGGUGCGAGGCUUGCUGGCGUUGGGGGUCUUUUUUGGAGUCGGGCACGCGUUGAGGUCUGUGAUGUUAUUGAUCUUGGAGUUGGCGUUGGAUUUGGCCAGCUUCUGUUUCAGCUCGGACAAGAGUGCCUGGUUCUCCUGGUUCAGGAGCUGCGCCUUCUUCCUUAGCCUCUCGUUCUCUUUCAUUAUGUAACAGUUCUCCCAGAACAGCUUGGUGUUGAGCCUCUCCAUCACUGGCAGAUCUGCGGGAUUCGAGAGAAGUGUUCAAUUCGUUGCGCUUUUUUUUUUUUUUUGUGCCGAAAAGAAGAAGAUGUCAGCAUGUAAAAGAGGAAGACGAAGCUCGACGCGAAACCCAUCAAGCCAGCACAUCGGAAACUGAACCCUUCGAAAGCAAAUUUGCAUUCGAGAGAGAGAGAGAAAGAGAGAGAGAGCAUUCUUUAUCAGAGGAAAUUUAACGUAUCUACCUACCUAUUGUACCACAAGUUGAGGGCAACGAAGAGACUUAAGUUUCAGCAAUGACAAGUACGAUCAGAGCGAUCUUAUCAACAACAACAACAACAACAAAAAGGAUUCAAUCGAGGCACUCUCAUUCUCUAAGAAUAGAUACGACCCUACGUGUCUAGACAUAAACCACUUCUCUCCGGAAGAAAAAUCUCCUCUGCUUCCCCACCAUGGAACGCAGAAAAGGAAACCGAGAAAGCUAUCCUGGUCGACCAACGCACUAACCUAAUGAAAGAAAGCAAGUACGAACAUCGAUCGAUCCCUCGGUUUUAGAAAGCAUGAGUAUUAGCUAACAAGAUGAGAAUCGCAUAGACAGCUUCCUUUUUCUCAAGUGGUCACCUUUCAGGUGGCUGGACUUGAAAGAGACGGAGAAAUAUAAGAGUCGCGACGAGUACCUACAGGCUAACUGGAAAGGAAGGCCUUGUUUGCGUGGGGUGUGUUGCGUGUGUGAAGGGACUAUUUAUAGUGAGCAAGAAGAGGGAAGGCAAACACCCCCGCGCCCAUGCGCAGUGCCACGACGACACAGGCAAGUGAGCGAGGAGAGCGACCGGCGGGGGAGAAAGCAACGUUGAGGACGCGGAGGUGGGGGAGUAAGGGUGGCAUCACGUGAUCCGAUUGUGGGAAUUCAAUUCAAUUCAAUUCAAUCCAAUCCAAUCCAACUCAUUGAGAUGUCACCCCGCAUGAUGAUGGUUCCGUCGGCCCAAAGACAAAAGAAGAUCUGUAAUGAUGGCGCUUCCAAAAGGGGCCACCUCCCUCCAUCAUCACCAUCCCCCGCAUUCCAUCGAUGCUCUUUUGUUUUUUCCCAUUAUUACGGUUUAUGACUUUAUUGUUACAUUUAUUAUCGAUCGACUCAGCUUCUUUCUCCCUCAUGUAGUUUUACUAUAUCCAUCUCGCUUUCUAAUUUGACGCAAGGAUGAUUGGAUCUGCCUUUAUGAGUUGGUCAGAAACAUCACCAUUAUACCGAGUGAAGAGUUCUAGAUUUGUCUCUGCUCGUAUAAGGGUGCAUGUAAUCCGAAGAUUAGAUUUUUACCAUGUUUUUUUUUUGACACCGGGAAAGUGGUCAUCUCGCCAUUUAUCAUUCAUUAGCUUCAGGAAAGAACCGAGUGAGAGAUGCAAGAAAGGAAAGAAAUCGUUCACUGGCUGCACGUGAAGAUGCAAGAAACACAGGAGUUGUUCUAUCAUCUUGCUGAUAUGCUAAUCGUAUAAUAGGUAGGUAUUUGAGUCAGAAAAAUAUGAUCGAUACUACAUUAUAACAAUUUAUAAGAACAUACCAUGUAGCAAUAAGUAACCCAAUCGAACCAGCGAUUCGGAUCGCUGUCGAAUUAGAUUAUACGGUGGUAAUUGGUGAACCCGGAAAUAUAGGUACCUGCUGUUGCUUGUGCCCCGUGUUUCAAGGAGGAGGUCCACGAGUUGUUCGAAGCUGAUGCCUUUUUUUUCCUUGUUGACGAAUCCUUUCUUGUCGGGGUUAUUUUUCUCUCUGUCACUUUUGUCUCUAACGAUCUCGUCUUAUCAACCCAUCUCUUCUUACUCUUAUUAUUAUUAUUAUUAUUAUUAUUAUCCUCGAGAUAUGUAUGUUGGUAAAAGCUUAAUCAGCGGUUGAGACGGCAGCAAAACAUUCGGUGUCAGGUAAAGUUAUAUCGCUAGGAAAUAUGAUGGAUGUGCAUCUUUAUGCUGCAAGUAUUGUUCGACUCUAUGUUGAUUUAUCUUUAAGAUAUGUACGUCGCUAAAAGCUUCGUCUUGUCAGGUAAAGUUAUGUUGAUGGGAAAUAUGAUUUGUACGUUGAUAUCAUUUUACAAAGGUAAUUUAACUUUUCUUUGUUGUUCCUUUUUAUGGAAGACUGGUAAAAGGAUACCAUCUUAAUCUCAAAAGCUCUGAUGCAUCAUCCGAUGGUGGAUCGGAUGGCUCAUGAUAUCUACAAAAAACAUUUGCGUUAAUCACUGAUGUUUUGUUCAAAGCAAUCAAUCACCACCAGUUUUGAGGAUCUUCCCACAUGCCUCGUAUGGCUCCAAGCAAAGCUCGAGUGCUUAUAUAUGUCAUGGCGGCAGCAUGCAGGAGAUGUCUCGUAUUCUUCGCCACCGAAAGAGACUCUUAGAUAGCUAGCUCCAUUUGGCUCAUCCUUGGUUACAUAAAACGUAUGGUCUCCGACUCAUUUUGGGAUUGCUGCAAGGGAUGGAGAGCUUUCCAUAGACGUGGCAGAAACCCUAAGAACGGAAAGGACAUUUUCUUCGUCUACUACGAAUGCAUGCACGCAUUACUUACAUGGUAGGAUCCUGUUUUAGUAUAAUGACAUUGGUAGGAUUUGAUUCCAUGAGCAAGAAACCCUGUAGGUGACGGUCUCGUGAGAAAAGAGAACUGUGUGUUCAUCCAUCAAGGACAGGGAAGAGGGGGGGGGUGGGGGGGUGGGGGGGGGGGAGACAACCAGGUGCAUGCAGAGUUGCAGAGAUAAAAUUGCAUGCUCAGAGAGUACUGCAGCUGCAAUCGAGUGAGUUGAUGGCCCACCCAUAAUGAACAACAACACACCCCUCUCCGUAUAUGAACUCGGGCAGUAACACGCCUACUAGGAGUGAUUCAUUGCCCUCCGCAGCGGCCAAAUCGCGUUGACACAUCAUGGGCGUUUUGAACGCGGUCGAGAGCAGGGAAGAAGAAGACAGGCAAAUCAUAACAUGGCAGCAGAAAGCUCAGUGGGACUGCCACUGUAGAACCCCACGGAGCUUUGUACUGAGUCCAAAGUAUAGGGCAGGAGAAGUUACUAGCGUCACAUGGUCUGCAUCAGUAGUGGAAGCUUUUCUCCUGCAGCUAAACUUGCAGGAGGGGGAGGUAGUCCUUUGCCGAGGGGUCAUCCAUGAGAACUUGCACUAAUAAAUCCAGCCCAGAUCGAUAUAUAGGAAAUUGCAGGAGCGGAGGAACGAGGACCACUCCCCAUUGUUUCAGAAGCUUAAUCAUUUACGACCUUUCGAGGAGGCAUGGUGUGGUACGAGUACGUAGCCACUUGGUCAAGCCCUCUUAUGAUUGCCAUGCCAUGUUAUUUACUCGGUCAAGUCCUUCAAUGAUUGCCAUGCCAUGUUAUCAGGGCUGGUGCUAUGAGACUUGUGAAAACUCCACCUGGUAAUGCGUUGUUACAUCUUAAUUUCACAAUCGCCCAAUUCUUUUUCUCCACCAAUAUUUGGGUUUUGAUUUCAAUCAUGAUAUUGUAAUUAACAACUUAAGAUAUGAAGAUUUAUGUUCUUUAUUGAUAUUAUAAGUCAAGACAAACUAAAGAGGAUUGCUAUUGUCGAUGGGGAAAGAAAUUAUAGGAUUGGAUGGUUUUAUAGUCACUGGAAAUUGGGAACAGACCAAUCGGACUUGAUGAAGCUUGAUCAUGUCCAAUUACAUCGGAAUGAGAAGGCGAGAAUCGAUUGGUAUGUUUGGAUUAUAAGAGCAUAAGGCCCUCACACCUACAAAUCAAAUCAAUUAAUGGAAAUAGGAUGCGGGAGAAACAAUCGAGAAAAGAGAGAACAGAAGACUUAAAGAUCCAAAUACGAAGAACAAGAUAAGGAAUUGGAAAUUUGGAAUGCCCAAGCGACAGGAUUCAUGCACCUAUUCUUGUAGAACGACCCUGGAUGAUGCUGAUUUGACUCUUGGUUCUUCGAGUAAUGUUCGUUUAAGAAUGGUAAACAAAUGAAUGUGGGCAAUGGAUGUUCUCAGAAUAUGCUGCCACUAUGAGUAUUAAAUGAUGUUCGUCACUGGUUGAUUUGGUUGAACUGACUGCAAGCUUAUCUGUAUAAUCUAUUCCAAAGCUACCACUUGUAUGCAUCGUGAUCUAAAGUGGAUGGCGCAUUAGAGUUUGUGGUGUGCCUUCGUAUACACUUUCCUCUUUUAAUUUAUUUGGUAUCAUUACUUAUCGUAAUUCCUCUCCUUCUCCAACCCUAAGGUUUUACAAACAUUUUAGCUAUCUUGAGAGAGAGAAGACCCUGAAGGAUUAAAUUAAAAAAUAAAAAAAAUCAAAAAAAUUAUGUGAUUUGAUAAUCCUUAUUUAGAUCUUGAAGAAAAUCAAUUUUUUUAAUAAAUAUAUCCUUUAAAUUAAUUCAAACGUUACCAACCACUUAUACAUCCUCUUAUAUAAACCAUGAAUAACUUUUAUCUCCAUCAUCUCUAGAAUAAAUGAAAUCUCGGGACACUAAAAGUAUAUUCCUUUAUGCCUUUUAAGACUCGAGACAUCCUUGAAAAUAAAUUCACUAUGAAUUUUUUUUCCUACUUAAAUUCUUAAUUUUAAUAAUAAUUCUAAUUCUUUGAACAGUUUAAAUAUAAUUAGAACUAUUGAAAUACUUAUCGAUCCUAACAAGAUAUGCUUAAAUUAUUUAUUUAUUUUUAUUUUAUAAUUUAUUUAUAAUUUUUAAAUAUUUUAAAUUUUUUGAUCUCUUUCAAGAUGAUUUGGUAGAUAUGAUCAUACCUAAUUCUUGUAACCAAAAUAUAAAAUUAACUUUCAACUAAAGUGAGGUUGCUUGAGCUGUUAGGUAUGACAUCCAAAUCGGGUGGUCCUUUUCAUUUGCAUUGGUAAGUCAGUAGGGAGAAUAAACAAAAAGUAAUAGUAAUAACAACCAUAAACGCCUACAGUUCCUAUCCGAUGAAAGAAAGCUCCGUCCACCACACCGCUGUUGCAGACGAAGCUAUACAUUCACUGCUUAAGUCAUCUAUAUCGGAGCAUAUUAAUGAUAGCGCCUGAUUUGAUUUGAUAGGAGUUAAAUCACAAGAAGAAUCGAUCAUAAGGCGUAGCGUUCUCGAAUUCUUUUUUGAUUGGCUAAUCCUAUCCUAAUUUUAUAACGAUGGAUGUAAGUGUACGAGUCCCAUCAACUUCAGAACCAUCCGACUUCGUUUCAGCGCUUCAAGAUUCGGGGAAUUACAGAUCGAGUGGUACCGCAUAUGACAUCGUCAUCGGACGAAAGCUAAUCGGCCACAUCAUCGUUCUCGCCACGUCAGUAAUUUGCAGAGCGCCGCAGUCACCGAGAACGUCUGCUUCCAAGCGAAGAGGCCGUUGGAUAUUCGCCAGCGGCGCACUGUCGUUAUCAAAUCGAUCUCGGCCGUCGAGCGAGAAAAAGACAACACACGAGCGGGCACGCGUCCAACGGUCCCGCCCCGCAGCCAGAGUUGCAAGUCCACGGUUUCGCGCGUGGCCGGCGUCGCCCUCACACCGCGAAACAAACGGGUGGCCGUGCUGAAUCAUCAGUGAGAAGUGUCACGGGUGGUCUCACCACGCACAAGUUGAGUGAGGGUAUAUUCGGCCACAUCACGUAUGUGAGAAGUCCACAUCAGCCCUGGAUUAUCGAAGGCUGCCUCAGCCAUACAAAAUUGUCGCCUCCGGUGACUAGCGCUGCUUAUCAUGAGCUGAAAACACCCUUCAUCUCCGAGCAAGAAACAAGCACAGCCGAGCCAAAUCCAUCCGCAAGCUAGGCAACGUGAAACGAGCCAUUCCUCCCUCUGACCCUUCUCCGGCAGGAAUAGUGGAGUGAUAUAAAGAGAAGGGUAAGGAAUAGGAGAGAAGAGAGUAGAUUUAUCGAUAAUGGCGUCGGGUGAUUUCAGGCUUUUGAGGCCGUUGGUUCACUUGCUGGUUCCGUUGUUUAUCCAUUGGAUCGCGGAGGAGAUGACGGUUUCGGUGCUGGUGGAUGUUACGACUCGAGCCCUCUGUCCCGGCCAAAGCUCCUGUGCCAAGGCCAUCUACAUCAACGGCCUCCAACAGACGGUGAGUUCUUUCUCUUCUAUGCAUACCUUUUUUCCUUUUGAAAAGGGAGGUGUAAUUUUUUCUGUACUCGCUGAGCCGAUGACAAAUGCUUUUCGGAGCUUUCAGAGAAACUGCGAUAAGUAGUCUUCAUGUUUUGUUAGAUUUUGAUGGCUUUGGAAACAGAAUGGAUAGAUAUAUGAGUUAAGUUUUGUAAAACUCAGCUGUAUUAUGAUCAAUUUUCUACGGUAAAAUGGUCUUUUAUCUGUUUAUUCCACAGACUUCAUGCUUGAAGUGACAUAAUAAUUUAAUAUUAAUCAACUUACUCAUAUUUGUAAUACUUCAUUUCGUAUUUAUAAAGUUUAUUUGCUUAAAAUUCUAAUCUAAGUUGACCAGAAUAAAAUGGCCUAAUUUGCUUAUUCUAAUCUAAGUUGACCAGAAUUAAAAUUCUAGUCAAAGUUCAUUUUAGUUUGUCCAACUAAUUUGCUUAUUGUGGCCUCAAAUUAUCAUCUGUUAAACUCAUGCAUCCUCUUAUCACUGGAUCAGACUGAAAACCCAAUAGCUCAUCUGUUAACAAAUUCUCAUCUGUGAAACUGGCCACAGAAAUGAGAUCCAUAUCUUCUGCAAUUGGUUACCUCACUUAACAAUGGCAAACAGAGGGAAUCAAUAAAAACUCCAAAGUUUUUUAUUCCUAGCAACGUAAGCUGUGUUGCAGUAUACAAUCCGUUAUCAUGCUUGCAGGGUGUUUUGUAGGAAUAAGAUCAUUUGAUUUCCUUAUAAGCUUUAUGACCAUUAAAGACUGCUAUCUGCAUUCAAUAGUCAUUGUGGCAUGAGGUUACUUUGAGUCUAAUGAUAUGUAUGACUCAACUUAUACGGCCUCUUUGAGUAAGAAUUAUAUUUGGACAAUUGAGUUGAUGUCAUUCAAAUAAUUGUUGUUGGGUGUUCAUUGGGAUUUUCAUUCUUACUUUCUCUUCCAUUUAUAUCUAGAAACACAAAAAUGAAACUUGAUAUUUGGUAUAUCGAAGUGUUCUCAUACAAAUUUUUAGGAUAUGAUUUCACACUUCUACAAUCAAUUGAGGUAUUCAUCUUAAUGUGGCAUGAUUUGAAAGAAAUCUUUAAUGUCCUUGUAGGUUGUUGGAAUAUUUAAAAUGGUGGUGCUUCCCAUCUUAGGUCAGCUAGCAGAUGAAUAUGGGCGUAAACCACUGCUUCUCAUUACUAUCUCCACAUCUAUAGUCCCAUUUGGUAUGAGUCUUCUCUAAUCCCUAGAUGCAUACAAGUAAGGCAACUUCUAUAACUUGUUUUGUUCACAUUGUUGAGUUUGGUUUGUUGAUGUACAAAUAGGUGUGAAAGUUUUUUUUUAGUUUGUAAUCUCAGUCUAUCAGAAUUGCUGAGGAUGCAUAAUUUUGCUAUUAGUGAGGGAAAUACCUGAUGUUAUUAUUAAUAUAUUUCAUUUAAUAACUCAUGAUAUUGUCGGGAUAUAAGUAGGUCAUAGUAUCAAAUUCACAAUUUAUGGGUAGUACAACAACACAACAAAAUAAUUGUACUAAGGAGUUGUUACCUUAAAAUGGUCACUGUUUUGUUGAGACUAUCUCUUAACUCGUAUGUGGUUUUAUCUUAGCAUUAUUUUCACAAGGUCACAAUGGUCAUUUAAAAGAUUGAUAGGCUUUGAGUCUUUCCGAGUAGGAACUGAAUACUCUUGCAAGAAUCAUAGCUCUUUUUGUUGUAGUGGCCUUGUGGAGCAAAGUUGAAGGACAAUAACUAGAGAACGACAAUGUUUUGAGAACAGUGGUUGAUAGACUCGGUGGUGUUUAUGGCUCACACAAUUCAUCUCAUUCAGUUGGCUUGGGCAUUAGUCAAUCAGCUGGAAUUGUCGACUUUUUCCCAAAAGUGGCCAAUCCAUUUGAUCACCAGUAAUAUUCAGCCGAUUUCUAGCCAUUCCUAGACACUUUCCAUCCACUUUUGGAGCAUGUUCUAAAAUACUAGUCUGAUACUAGUUCCAGUAAAAUGUUAGAUCAGUAUGGUGUUGUUACAUCAGGUACUUUAUCUACCUAAUAUUAUUGAAUAAAAUUUUAAAAUAAUAUAAAUGAAAUAUAUAUGUACCAGUGUUGAACAGUAUCUUUCAGUAAUGGUACUUGAUCGGGCUGGUAAAUGCCAACUGGUAUGUACCAGUUGGUUUGGUAAUUAAAACCUUGGUUCUUACUGCCAUACCUGAUUUCUUAGAAUAUAUUGAAUCACUCUUGGCUGAUCUUGACCAAGACCUUGAAAACCUAGUAAUAAAAAAUGGCUUAAUUUGUUACCUUAAUUCUCACAUGCUUGUAGCUUGUUCUUUUUUGAAUCGGUCAAUAUGUUGUUAUCAUGUAAAUUUCUUGAUGAAGCUCUUUCCUCUAUCUGUCUCAAAAUUAACUUUGUAUGUUGUAAUUACAGCCAUACUUGCUUGGGAUGUUUCUAGAGCAGCUGUCUAUAUAUAUUUUGUACUUCGCACAAUAUCAUAUAUUAUAAGUCAAGGAAGCAUAUUAUGCAUAUCAGUUGCUUAUGCGGUGAGCAGUUGUCAUUCUUCUAUUUGUUUCUCUUUUAUAUGCAAAGAAAUUAAGUGAAAUGCCUAUUUCCCAUUAAUGAUUAGAUUUGUGACUAACUUAAAUAUGUUGAGUAAUCAUGGAACAUAUUGCAGAAUGCUUGAAUUCCACCAUUUAUUAUGAUGUAGAUUCCAAAAGCUUUCAUGGAUAGUUUAAUAUAAUAUCUUUAAUGUUUAAUAUGUGAUCCAACAAUGAGAUUUUACUUAAAUAGAGAAGAUAAUUGCAAAAUUGUAAUGAUCAACCACUUUGCUUUUGAAGAAUAUUUCACUGCAUAUUCUAGCUUCAAAACAAUUCCAUCAAUAGGUGCUAACUUUUUUCAUGUUACUCAUAUGUUUGCUUUGGUAUACAAAAAUUUAAGGGGUUCAAAAGUGAGAAUGACACCGAAACUGUGAACUAAAUAGAAAAAGGAGUUUUUUUGCUUAUAAAAUGGAUGGAAGCACAUACUAUUAAAUCAUUGAGUGUGUUAGAAACUUAGAAUGUAAAAAAAUAUUCUCCUAUCAUCCUUCUAAUAAUAUUUCAAGCAAUCAUCUUUGUUGCUUUCUGCAGUAAAUACUCUCAGCACAAUUUCUUUCUGUAGAAUUCACUUAAAAUGUUGGUACAAAUAUUGUAAUACUAUGUAUUUACUAUCUUUGUCAGCCAUAUGUGGAGCAAAAACUUCCGUUACUCAUUACUAAGCAUAAAGAUUAGCACCAAUUAUUGCCUAUUUCACCUCAUAAUUUACUGAAAUAUUCUAAUUUGACAAGCAUUAUAUAUAGGUUUCUUUGUGAAUUACAAAAAGGAUUAUAUAUUUUUCUCCCAUGCUAAGGAUUGAUGUAGUGCCAAUUCAAGUAAUAUUUCCUUCUCAUCUAGGCUGAUGUAAUUGAGGUCAGCAAGAGAUCUACCACAUUUGGAUGGAUUACUGGACUUUUUUCUGUUUCUCAUGUACUGGGAAACAUCUUGGCUCGCUUUCUACCUGAAGGAUGGAUAUUUGAGGCAUGUUUUAGAUAAUACUUAUAAGGUCACUUUCUUUAUUAACAUUGGAAAUUUUUUAUAUAUCCUUAUUUGAUAUCUUAUUAUUUAUCAUGUAUAGGUGUCCAUAUUUUUGUUGGUUUGUGCCACGCUAUACAUGAAAAUUUUUCUGAUCGAGACGGUCAAGGUAGCUCCAAGACAAAGUGAAAACAGAUCAUGUUCAUUCAUUGUGCUCGAGGUCUUGCAGGACCGUUGGAACUCUAUGAAAGAUACUAUUUUUGUUUUCAGUAGUAGGUAUUAUGUUGAUCUUUUUACCUACUGUUUGGGGUGUGCUUUGUCAAUUUUCAUAACAUUCACUCUACAAUACAUCUGUUAGAGUGUCUAUCUAUUAUUUAAAUUCUUAGGAUCAUUUUAGAGGAACUGAUUGUUCUUCUGUCAAUUUGCAAUAUAUUAUUUAGUUGGUGUCUCUGCCAACAUAUAUAGUAUGUCCACCAGCUUAAAUUCAAACUCUGCUUGUGGUUCAUUAAUGGAAAAUGAUUAUUGUUCUUUUCCACUAACCUAGACUUCUUAUAAUUGUAGUACCACUCUUAAGCGAAUUUCAUUCAUUUCCUUCUACUACGAAUUGGGGAUGUCUGGCAUCAGCAGUAUCUUGCUGGUAUAAUUCUUUCAUUAUUCUUCUCUAGUAAUAUUUUCUUGUUUAGGUUUUUGUUAAUGUUUACUUAUGUUUGCUUCUUAAUAUUAUAUUUUUUUUGUUAGCUAUUCUCAUGUUUAAGCUGCUAGGGCAUACAAAUGAGUGGACACUUAUGUAUGUUUUUUGUACAGUACUAUCUUAAGUCAGCCUUUGGCUUCAACAAAAACCAGUUCUCAGAAAUUCUACUGAUGGUCAGCUUCGGGUCUAUAUUUUCUCAGGUGCUGCAAUGGCUUUUAUGUACCAUGCCAUUCUUAAUCUUGCUUUCCUGUUUGUAUCCCUUGUUUGUUCCUCAAGCAUCAAAUAUAACAUUUGUAUAUACAAAAAAUCUUUUCAUUCUGGAAAUUGCAUGUAGUGGCGUCGUCAUCAUACUUCAAGUAAUUGGGUUAGUACCAGACAGUGAAUGAAAAUCUAGGACUGUAGGACAUUCAUACAAGUGAGCUAGGCUAACAAUUUAUUAUAAUCAUUAUUAAAAUUUGCCAGUAACCAUAAUAGCUGCCACACCAUCAUCGUAAAAUCUAUUGCUUGAGUAGAUAUUUUCUGGACCUGUAAACAUCUUUCGUAGUUGACCCAACUUUUGAGCUGUUUAAACUUUAAACUAGAGGGCUGUGAUGAUAAGGCAUACAGAUAUAGAUUCCAAAAUAUAAUUUGAUAGAUAUUUCAAUUUCAUAAUUUAUUUCCACUUCAGCACUAUUCAGCUAGACCAGGUUUAAAAUUCACCUUUUUCCACUUGCAUCUGAUCAUUUUUCAUUGUUUCUUGCUAUAUGCAUUAACUGGAGAUCCUUUCUGAGCAGUUGGUAAGCACAUUAUAAAUUCCUUUAACUUGCAUUUUACAACUAUCACACAUACUUCUAAAGUAACAAAAUAAUUGUUGACAAUUAAUUUAACAGACCAUCACUGUGUAAGCUGCAUAAAUGUAUGGCUAUUUGGACAUGAUCAAUGAACCUUUUUGUAUAAUAUGCAUCAAGGUUAUGUUUAAUUGAUGGAUAUUUUCAAGUGGAAAGAAGAGGUUUUUGUGGUAAGUUUUAAGUUCAUGACAAGCAAUUUAUACUUAGUGAGAUACUAAUGCAACUGAAUGUAGUUUGAUGACACAUAAAUUUAUCAAUAUUAUCUAUUGUGCUUGAUGUCUGAAGUGGCUGAUUUCUUUUCUUUUCUCUUUUUGUAGAUCUUGGUUCUUCCACAUAUUAAUUCUCUUAUGGGAGAAAAGGGUGUUCUUUGUAUCGCUUUGAUUGCUUCAAUUGCUUAUGUUAGUCUUGAUCUUCUUAGAGAUAUUGUUAUUGGUGUGAAUUAGCAAACUUCUUUUAAGUUUAUGUAUUCCUAACCCAUCUUUCUCUGUGCAGGGUGUGCUUUAUGGCUUGGCAUGGGCACCUUGGGUAAUGUUUUUCUCCACAAUACAUCCUCUAUUUGGAUUACAUUUAAGUCGAUAAAAUUAUUUAAAAGACAAUGUGAACUGCAUGUUGUUUAAGAUAUUUCUAGCUUUAAUUACAUAACUUCUACAGGUUCCGUAUCUCAGUGCAUCAUUUGGAGUCAUCUAUGUCCUUGUUAAACCAUCUGUAAGCAUUUUCUCCGUUUGAGGAAAUUUGUUGUUAUAAUUUGGCUGAGUCUGAAAUUUUAAAUAUACCUAGAUGGUUAUAGUUUUACAUUCAAUAAGAGCACUUUUAAAAUUUAUACUAUUAAAUAGCAUCUAAAAAGUUGUUAGUUUUCAUCGAGUUUUGUUCCUUACCAAUGCUAAACUGAGAUUCUUCAUUCACAGACUUGUGCUAUCAUUUCGAAGGCAGUUAUUUCAAGUGAUCAGGUAUUUUGUAAUAUCAUUGCUAUUUGAGAAUAAAUUCUGAAUAAUCUAGAAAAUAUAAAUAUCUACUGCCUUCAAAUAUCAGUCAAAAAUUGAUUUAAACAUUUUAGACAAUAAAAUUUAUAUGCUGAUAGAUGAUUUUACAUGAGCAUAGUGCUAGCUGAUUAUUAAUUGCUUAACUGAGUUCUUGUCGAAGGACAAGUACCAUAUCCAAAGAAAUGAAGGCCACUUUGCAAUAAUCAUAUUGGCUGGUGAUGUAGGGUGAGUUUAUGUUGUUGGGUCUAAGUGAGGCUAACUGAUAUCUAGAAUUGAGUUGUGAAUUUUUUUUUAUGAAUUUUUGUUACCACUUAAAUUCUGUGUGAGAAUUUAACCUGAUCCAAAUUCACAUCAGCCCAGAAUUUCAGUCCAAACUUUGCGCAGCAGGCUGACCUCCAAUGGAUCCUGCAUCAACAGGUUUCAUUGUCGGGUAUUAGAAUUUUUGUGUCAUGGAGUUCCCUACAUUUAAAAUAGGUGCAUGCAAGGAAUGAUGUAUGACCCGGAUAGGGUCUGGCUGAGAACCAGUACGUGGACUGCCCUUGUAUCGGACAGUCCAGUCCAACCCACUAAAAAAGUAAAAAAAUAAAAAUAAAAAGCAGUUUUCUGUCAAUUAGGCUCACGAACACGAACCCUCUUCAUUGUGUGUGGGGAGCGCAAAAUUGCCACAACCACCUGAUACCGCAUACCUCCCUGCUGCUGCCAUUAGCCGCCACCUAUCUCCCCACCAUAGCAACCACGAGUACCCUUCCUAGUCUUUGUGCACGCUUCCUCUUCUUCUUUCUACCUCCUUCCUCUUUGUCCUCCACCAUCUCCUCUUCUUCCACCUCCUCUUCUUCCUUCAUCGUCUUCUUCCUCCACCCAUCUGUUCCUUCCUCUUCUUCUUCUUCUUUGACUUUGAAACACUGGUAUGUACCAAUGUACCCUGUGUUUGAACAUUGGUAUUGACUGGUAUGUACCAGUCCUACAUAGGGACCGAUACAGUUUAUGGAAAUAAUCUCAAGUUUGUACAGUUCUUAUGCCUAUUAAAUGCGCGUGUGUGUGUGUGUAUCAAUGGCUUGCAUGGAAAAGGAAAACGUGAAAUUAACAAAAUUAAUUUUUACUUUUUUCACAGUAUAACUCUGAUAUUCCUUUUUUUAAUUUUAAAUAGUUUAGACCAUGGCUGAAAGACAAUUUAAUACUGAAUGAAACACUGCCAAUCUACUUUUGAGUAAUUGAGCUGUAUAUUUGACUGGGAGUCCAAGGGAACAGGAAUUUUGUUGUCCAUGGUUGAGUGUAGAAUGUUGUUCAUGUUACAGGGAAAGGCACAAGGACUUAUUGCAGCUGUGCAAUCUGUUGCAAGCUUGUUAUCACCUGUUGUAAUGAGUCCACUAACAUGUAAGUAGACUAUAUGUUCGGGAUUUGCAAGUAUCAUACUAUCAUCAUAUUUUGCUGAAAUUUCAGAGUUGCACACUUCACGACUAACCUCUUUCAUCUCUGCAACACUUGAUCCAUUCAGCUCUCUUCAUUUCAAGCGAUGCUCCUUUUGAUUGCAAAGGUUUUAGCAUUUUGGUUGCCUCGAUUUCUUUGGUAUGCUAUUUCACUUUUUUGCGUGCAUAUGCACAAACAUGAACUUCACAAAUGCACAAGAACUGUAGGCUCACAGUCUGAUCUAAGUUAUGUUUGUGUGUAGAUUAUCUCAUUGGGCCAUGCUUCUCUGCUCCACUCAGAAAAUUCGAAUAAACUGCCUGAGCAUGAGCCUGGGCAGUAUGGGGAUGAAACUGUAGAAGCACCUCUACUGACACAGCCUUAAGUUGCUGUUGUUAUACAGUUAGUAGCCUUUUGUCAUCACAAGGUUAUAUAUCUGAGGAAAGCACGCUGAAAUCAUCUUCCUACAGUUGAACAGCUUGAAGGACUUUCUUUAAUCAAAGUGGUUUGCUAGGUUGAAAGAAGCUCUACUCGUUUGAGGCAAGAGGAUGUAAACGUACGGUAAGGUUCCCAGUGGCACCAAAUUGGGACUCCGUAUACCUGCUAGUCCAAGCAUAAUUUGUAUUGUACAUAAUUAAUGGAAACAACGAGGCUUUGCCCUCGAUUUGUAUUGUAGAUAGGUGGAUAUUCUCUAGACAUUAUGAGGUCCAUCAUGUGUCAGUGAUCGUCAAUUCUUGAAUGCUAUGGUUGGAAAAGACAAUUGUAAAAUGACGAUUAAAGUAAGCAGGCAAUCUUGUAGCCAUUGCUUGUCCGUGGUAUCUAUUCUCUUAGGCAUAUGCACCAUUUGAACUCUUGGAAAUGAGAUUAUGGCAAUAUGUUGGUGUCGAUUGGACAAUCUUUUUGUGAAAGUGUUUCCUCCAUAUUUCGUAUAAUACUUGUUUGUGUUUGCUUCAUCAACUUACUUUGGGUCCAGAUUUGUUGACGUACCAUUUACUUUUAUCUAUUACGAACUUCGAAUUUGAUCUCAUUUCAUAAAGUACCUAAUUUGUCACUUCCUUGCGUCCGGUAUAUCAUUACAUAAAUAGAUAACUGAAGGAAUAUAUAUAUAUAUGUAUAUAUAUAUAUUGGUGCUUAAAUUCCCCAUUAGCUUCUGUAGCAUAUUUUAUUCUGAUUUAAAGAGAAAAGAAUUAGGUUUGCCAAUUGUCAGUUGGAAAGAGUGGAUGAAGCCGUCUAAUUCGGAAAUAAAGAAGCCACAGAAAUCAUCAAGGUGGGUGCGUCUUCCCAGGCCAGGCAAGUGGUGUUCUCGCGACCGCCUCGUCGACCCUUCCCACGUCCAUCAGAGGAUUACGGAUACUACAAAAGGGCGUUAAGGUAUCCAAAAUUUUCCAGUUGCGUAAUCAGAUGGCUGAGAUGGGCGAAGCCACCGCAGCCGACCGGGCGGUGCUCUGCAUCGGGGACAUCCACGGCUACAUCUCCAAGCUGCGUUCCCUCUGGUCCAACCUCGAGGCCGUCGUAGGCUUCGAUUCCUUCGCCACUGCCCUCGUCAUCUUCCUCGGCGAUUACUGUGACCGCGGCCCCCACACCCGCGAGGUCAUCGACUUCCUCAUCGCCCUCCCUUCCCAAUACCCGCGGCAGCGCCACGUCUUCCUCUGCGGCAACCACGACCUCGCCUUCGCCGCCUUCGUCGGUGCCCUCCCGCCGCCACCCGACGGCUUGCCCUUCUCAGCCACCUGGGCGGAGUACGCACUGAACGAGGAGCGGGAAGGCUGGUUCAAGGGAGAGGGCUACGAGGCCAUGCACGUGCAAGGAAGGCGAUGGGGCGGUGACAUAGGCGGCCGGUUUAACCCCAAGAAGGGAAUGGCCUAUAAGGGUUCCAUCUAUGAUGCUGGGCCAACCUUCGAGUCCUAUGGCGUUCCCCAUGGCUCUGCGGGUAAGCCAAUCGAUCCCUUGUCCCGAUCUAGCUUUGAUUUUUUUCUUGAUUUUACGAGAAAGAGUGUGAUCUCCAUUUCUCGGCUCGGCGAUCUUUGAAAUGUCCUAAUUAAGCUUGAAAUGAUGUGAAUUGGUUCUUUCCAUGCCUUUUUUGUUUCUAUCCUCAGUUUUUGAGCUGCAAUUAGCAAAAUUGUUGUCAACGAAAUUGUUAGUCAGUAUAACUUACUUUGUUCUGUCAACGUUUUUUAUCAUCCAUGGAAAGAAAGGAAGUUACGAUCUUCAAUCUCAUGUUGUGGAAGCUUUUUAGUUCUGUGGGUUCUGUUGUCAUGCUACUACUGUUGAUCGUGUGGUUGUAAGUUGUUUCAUAGGGUUUCUUCUAAUAGAUGGUGAAUAAUGUUGAUCCUCUGAGCCUUUUGCAUAUACUGGUUUCACAGAUUUGGCCAAAGCAGUCCCUGAUACCCACAAGAAGUUUCUUUGUGACUUGGUUUGGGUUCAUGAGGAGGUAUCAUGACUUAUUGGUUACUUUAAUUUUUUUUAAAAUAGAUUAUUUCUGAAAUGAAGUGAUUAAUUCUGGUCUUGUAUUGGUGGUUUUUAGGAUAAUGUACUGAUUGACAGUCCUAAAGGAAGGACUUCCUGCAAAUUGAUUGCCGUUCAUGCUGGAUUAGAGAAAUCAAAGGGCGUGGAGGAACAGCUAAAACUUUUGAAAGCUAGGAACACAAUUUUACCAAAGGUGGAACAACUUAGCGGGCGGCAUGAUGUGUGGGAAAUGCCAAAGGUAACACUAGCUAUUCAGUUGUUUUGUCGCUCACUUCGUUCGCUGUUUAGUUUUGAUGAACUAACUUGGUAUGAAUCUGGGAGGACAUUUUUUGAAUCUAAAAUACGUUUGGAACUUGCAAGCAUGUUCAUUAGAGUACUAUUUAUCAUGACUUUCAUCUUCACGCUUGACUAAUCAACUGAUUCAUCUAAGCAUUUAAUUUAAAAUAGAACUUUGAUUUGAUCUUUCUGAAUAAAAAGAUAAUUCUAUCAAACUUAUUUGAUCAGCAUACAAACAAGAUGAAAUAACUUGCAAUACGCUUGAAAUCUUAAGAAAAUAGGAUCCUUCCAAACACAACUAAUCUACUCAUCCUACUCUGAUUGGCUAGCCAGUGGGAAGACUCAUAAAAAUUACCAUACAUUUUCAUCCCAACCAUGAAUGUUUUCCAUUGGGCCCAGGCAUAGCAGGGCUUGCUUGGCUUUAGAUUAGUCAUUUAUUCUAUCAAAAAGCCCACAAAAAAGUACAGUUGGAGUAACUUGUUCUAGCAUAUACCAUACUUUCAACUGUUCAUAUGUUUCUUAAUAUGGUUAUACUAGCAUAAGUUAUACAAGUUAUCUACCUACCUGAAUCAUAAUUUAAGAGAUCUAAGUGUCUCUUAUUAUACAUAGGCUUUUUUGGAAUGUUCCAACCCUUACAUGUAUGAAAGACGAUGAUCACGGGAUGCUUCACUUGGAGACUUUAUAACAUUUGCGCAUUAAUUUAGUGAUAUUUUAGUAAAAAAUAUCUGUUUCUUUCCUUUUACCUUAUCGGGGGGCUUCCUGUCCUUGAAUUGGAGAAAACCUAAUUGGAGGGUCAUAUCCAAUCGUUUGGUAUAAAGAGACAAGCUUUCAUAAUAAACUGAUGUAACUCACAGUAGCAAAGAUAUCUUCUACAAUAUGAUGGGGUCAUAGAAUAUACAACUGUCAAUUUUGCCCGCAGGUGGUAGUGGCAAAAACAAUCUUAUUUCAGCUCUUCAAUAGACAUUGUCAUUCUUUGAAUUUCAGCAAGGCUUCCAAUGUUGUUGGCAGCUGUAGCAUACUCUCAUUUUGAAUUUCUUUUUAUCUCGUAUGAGUUGUUGGGCUUUUCAGGGGAAUUAUCCAUCUUUGGAGUUUACAGGGACAAUCGAUCGCUACAAUGGCACUUCUGAACAAUUCUUUUAGGCUUCAUUGUGCUGCGACAAUGCCCUCGAAUACUCUUUUGGGGCUACCCUUUACUAUAGUGCCUCCAUCUAUCUGAAAUGAUCUUCUCUUGCCUCAUCUAUCAUCAAACUUACCACAACCUUUGUCCACCCUUUACUAUAGUGCCUCCAUCUAUUUGGAAUGAUCUUCUAUCUUCUCAUCUAAUCAUCAGAUAUAUCACAAUCUUUGUCCAUCCUAUCAAUGAUGUUGAUCUGGCCUAGCGAUGUGCAUUGUUCUAUGCCCAAUCGAUGAAGAUAUCUGUGAAAUUCUAGUCAUUCAGAUCCAUGGCAAAACAUCAUACUCUACUUUGCCAUAAGGAGGUUGGAUUAACUUAACCUUACCAACCUGUCGUGUUCUUGAUCCGGUAUGACACAUCUUCUCUCAAAGAAAUAUCUUAGUAGAAGGUGAUUUGAGGAGUAAUUUUCUUUUAUUAAGUAAUAGAUUUAGUGGGAAGCUAUGAUCAUGAUCAAUUUCCAUGGUCUUAAAUUCUCAAUUUUCUUCAGUUCUUAUGAGGUCAGUUGGUUGAAGCAGUCGAGCAAAAGCUGCAAAAAUGUUUCAGCGGUUCUAAACAACAUAGUCUGUAGGCUUGCUUAUUUGUUUUGACUUGUGAAACCUACAAUUUAUGGUCUUCAUAUGGAGUCAGAAACAUCAGGUGGGGAGCCUGAAAUAUCUGGUCUGAAUUUUGUCUUCUUUCUAAUGAAAUAAACUUCUUUUUGCUCUUAUGAACAAAGUAAAAUGACCCAUGCACAACAUGCAACACAAUGGUGUAUGACCUUUUUCUUUCUUUUGUUUUCUGAUUUAUAACAGUUUCUUAUGACUAGUUCGAGUUAGAGAUCACAUUACUCCAUUUUUCAUGACUUCAAUAAACUAAUUUAUAGACCGUGUAUGUUUGCCUAUGUCAGGAGCUUUCUGAUAAGUCAACUCUAGUGGUCAGCGGUCAUCACGGAAAAAUCCACAUAGAAGGCCUCCGAUACAUCAUUGAUGAAUGUGGUGGGUUGGAGCAGUUGCCAAUUGCUGCAGUAGUGUUUCCUUCAGAGAUGAUUGUCCGAGAUAUCGACCAAAUUGUGGCCGAAUGUUGAGCGUGCACCUUAUGCGUCGUUACAAGCAGUGGUACUUGGGUUUUAUGUUAUCAAAGAACAUUUUCAUGCAAUAACAAGCACCAAACUCAAUCAGGAGCUACAGCCUACGGUACCGUGUCCAGAAGCAUCUUAAUUCACUUCCCAAGACCUGAUUUUAUUUUAGCGAACCUACUUGCAUGAGUUGCAUCGAAGGCCGAGUGUUUGCAACUUUGGAGAUCAAAAGUUCUUAUUUAGCUCUCUAGAUGAUGUUUCUAUUUGACCUAUUCUAGAUGAAUCCAUUAAAUAAUUCUUGUUAUCUUUAAUAGUUUCAUAGUGUUGAGAGUCUAGACGUAAAACUUGAUAAGAUCCACCAUGUAAAAGGCAAUCUUUUGAAUGUGUAAUGUUUGAAUGCAAGGAGUAAAUUUUCGGAAAAGAAAAAAAAAAUUUGGUCAUCGCUCUAACUUUGUCGUCAACGAAAUCUUUUGAUGUAGUCUUUUUUUUUAUGAUUGGAUAAAUCUUUGUUGUAAAUUAUUGAUCGGGAUCUGUUUUUUUUUACUGACUGUAUUAUUAUCAUAUAUUACAUCACGAUUGAAGUAAAUAUUUUUUGCUUUAGUUUGUAAGGGGACGAGUCAACCAUAUCCGGUCUGACUUUUUAGAAACUUGGGCACGUGGGGCAGACCAUUAUACAACGAGCGUGAAGAUAGUGUGUGGUCCAAAGAUCAACAAUACGCAGGUCACUAUCAUUCAUGUUGACAUACGGAAUAAGAUCAGUUUAUGCUGAUUAAUAAAGAGGCUCUAUCCAAAGUCGGUACAGCUACGAUAUAUAAUAGACAUAAGGAUCUCUCGUACGAUAAGCCGACACGAGUGUUGUGGUCUCUAAUUUUUUUCCCCUUAUUUUUCUUAUCAUACGAAGUGAUCUCUGUUUUGAAAGAUCAUUUAUGCAAUUAAACACAUGAGAGAACGCCUUGGCCAGCUGCUUGCUUGCAAGAAAAAGUUUGCAGACAAACCCCAUAAAAUGUGACGCAGAGCAAGACAAAUUGGUUGAAUAUGAGAUGAGUUUGGAUAUGGAAAUGACAAUAUCGUGGAUCCAACCAAUAGCCAUGUCGUUAAGUCAACGACAUUGCAUAAGAUAUGUUAAAAGCAGAUACCUCACGGGAGGAAGGAGAGGGGGGGAUGGCGGAUUAACAGUAGCUGUUGCUAUUAAAUUCGUCGAUCCAAUGUCAAAGCGAAGCUCUCCUUCCGAUUGUUCAAACUUCAAACGCAGUGGCGAGCAAUUGCCCGUAAUAUAGUAUGCAUAAAAGUAGCUGUUGCUAUUAAAUUCGUCGGUUCGAAGUCAAAGCGAAGUUCCUGUGUCGAGCUGCUGCUGGUGGUUCAAAAGCAUUGGCGAGCAAUUGUCCGUAAUAUACUAUACAUAGAAAGGAGAAGACAGCAGCAGAAUCACGACAAAGACGAUGAUGACCCAUACAAAAAAAUAAUAUUUAAUUUUAAGAUGGAUCGCUGCAAAUUUUAAGAACCCAACAGCGACCCGAUCAGAUCGUCACGACAAACAGAUCCAGUCACCUAUGUGGUCAGCUCACCUCCCGGUCUACCCCCACCCGUAUGGCUCGCUUCUGUCGCCCUCCGCCUCAUUUCCUCAAGGAGAAGGAGUUGGAAAGCUCGAGGGAACGAAAAGAGGCGGAGUUGAGAUCCUUGUAGGACCCCGGCGCCAGCCCCUCUACCAUCGAACCGUCCAUGCCUGCCCUCAUCUGCCUCCGCCGACUCCACAAACUGUAGGCCCCGAACAACGCCGCCCCGGCGAAGACCACGCUGCCCACUACUAACAACGCCACCCUCGCUGUCCUCCCCGCACCGCCUCCGCCGCCGCUCGUCCUCACCCUCACCUUGAAGUAACCCUCCCUCCUCAUGUCCCCCUCCACCAGCGUCUGUAUCGGGUAAUCCAACGGAUAGCAGAAGCCCGACGCGUUGUGGUAGAUGGCCCCCCAGCAACUGCAGUUCUGCUCGCAGGAACCCUCGCACUCCUCCAAAGAUGCCACCUUUCGGUACGCCACCAGCUCCUGAUUGGCCAAGUCGACGCCGUUCCGCCUUAGGAUUCGGAACUCAGAGCCUCCAUCCCCGCAGAAAUGGCCGGAGCCCGGCGGGAGGCACCCCUCCUCCGUGCUGUUGUCGAGGCAGCUGCAUCGGGAAUCGGCCGAGUUGCAGAGCCCGUAGGCUCCGCAGACGGCGGGGAGCUCACAGCGGUGGGCGAUGGUUUCGAGGUCGCGGACCCAGAUCGAACCGUUCCAAUAGUACGCUCGGAGGUUACCAUCGGACUCCAGCGUCAGGCGGCGAAGCCCGGAGAUUUCCCGGUUGAAGCUGUCGAAGGGAAACACGUCGACGGGGGCCGCCUCUUUCUGGUACAUCCCCAGAAACCCGUGCGCGUCAACCCGGGCAUAGAUCGGCCCUUCGUCUGGGACGAUCAAGACCUUGACGUCCAAAGCGGAGUGCUUCCAGUACAUCACGGGCGUCGAACCUCCGUCCAAGUCCAUGUAAAGGGCGAAGUAGCUCGCACCCAACCUCAUCGAAAAGCGCUGGUCUUUGGAGAAGAGAGCGGCCGUGGAGGUAAAGUUCUGAUCUUGGACGAGUGUAUCCGACGGAAAGUCAAAGCUUUGCCAGAGCACCGUGGCGGCGGCCCCCGCCAUCUUCUGGAUCUGAAGAUUGGAGGAGUUGAGGAGGACAAGGCGGUCGCCGUCGGCCGUCGCGGUGGACCAAAGCACCCCUGUUCGCGAGUCGGAAAGGACCAGGCUGCCAUCGAAGGAGAGCGAAGCCGAAGCAGACCAGAGGAGAGGACGAGCCGGGUUGGCGCGCCAGAGGGCGGAGGAGGAGGGCAGGUGGAUGACGGCGAGAUCGAGCUGGGAUGAGUCGACCCGGAGGAAGCCGAGGGAGAAGACGCCGGUGGGAUCGGCAAGCAGGGAUUGGAAUUCGGAGUAGGACGAGUCGUGGGUGACAGAGAAGCCUUUGCGGAUCUCCUGUGCUGCGGAGGAAGCGCCGUUUCCGAACCAAGCUGGUCUUGUGACCAGGUAAGACAGGAGGAAGACUAAAGCGUGAAGCUGCUUGUUUGCUGCCAUGGUUGAGCUCCUUCACCCACCUAAGAGAACAAAUGAAGAUUGGACACUGUGAAGAAGAUUACAAGCACUAGUGGUAUCCUGCACAAUAAAAUAUUGGAUACGCAGGCAUAUAUAACGUUAGCUAUAUUGGAUAUAUUGUUCUAAACAUAUUUUUAUUAAAGAUAUUACGAGAUCUUUUUUGUGUUUUUCUUGUCUUUAAAUAAGCAUCUGCUGAUAGAAUAUUUUGAGGGGUGUGAUAAAUUUGACUUGCUGCCUGUCAACUGGUUCUCGCCGCUGCUAUCAGAAAGCGGGAGCUUUUUAGCUCGACAUUCACAAGUCGACUGGUAUCUCCAAAAGCAUAGUUGGUGGCGAUCCCACCACCUCCUUUGUCGCUGACUACGCCCGCAGUUAGCAGCCGCGAGGGAGGACUUGGGAACCAGCAACAUUAAUGGUCAUCAACGAUUCAAGGAAGCAUAUCUCGCUCAAUCUCUUGAAUUCAACUAACUUCUUUCGCGGCAAGGAAGAAACUUAGUUAGCAUAAGUGGAGCUAAUUAUAGUUAGUUAUCUUUUAUGUUUCAAUCUUUAUAUUUUAAAUUUAUUUAUCAUAAUGAUAAUAAUUUUAUCGAUGAAAAUAUGAAAAUAAAAAUAUAAAGAUAAUAUUAAUAUUCGAUGACAAACUUGAAGGUGGUGGAUGGCAGUGCCGACCCCAUCCAUAUGUCGCCACAACCAUCGUCGUAGCUGGUGGAGUCUAUUUCACACGCCCGUCAAUUGGUUGUCAAAUCUCUUGUUACAGCCAGUGGUUCCCAGGCGUGCCACCGUGCUCGACCUCAUAACUGAUGGUGAGGGCCUCAUCGUCGUGAAAGCCCCCGACCAUGACGAGGGCUAACUCAUCGAAAUUGGCUACAUUUGUGGGUGUCGAGGGCUAACGGUCGAUGGGUGCUAGAGUGAACUCCACCAGCUGCGAUGAUAGUUAUGGUGACAAAUGGAGAGCAGUUGGUGUCAAGGAUUUGGAGCACGUGAGCUAGGGGCGGCAUCGUUGUCCACCACCAAACGUUAUGAUGAAGAUGGUGGCCUCCUUGCCACUAACUUGUUAGACGGAUCUCAACCUCGACCCCUCCCUCUUUGCAUUUGCAUUGACAUCGACGUAGUUGUCGAGCAGCGAAAGAACCGCUCAGCAUUUGCAUUAGUGUCAACGCAGAUGCAUAGCGUCAAAAAGGGAAGCUUAGCAAAGGGUAGUAUCAGAACUAAUGUAGCAGGAGCUCCAACGACCCUAGAUUCAAGUUGAGGCUGGGAUCUGCCCAAUGGGUUAAUGACACCACUCGCCUCUACAAGAAGCGUGCCACCAACCUCAUUGCCGCUCAAUAGCUACGUGGACAUCGAUACAGACACAAAGGGGAAGGGGUUAAGGUUGGGAUUCUCUCAACGAGUCAGCGGUGAGGCAGCCACUAUCUUCGCCAUAAUGUUCGGUGGUGGUGGAUGGCAGCACUGCCCCCAACUCAUGUGCUCCAAAUCCCCAAUGUUGGUUGCGCUCCAAAUCCCCAAUGUUGGUUGCGCUCCAUCUAUUACUACAAACGUUGUCACAGUUGAUGGAGUCCGCUCCAACGCUCGUUACCCGUCGACCCUCAACACCCACGAAUGCAACCAAUUUCGAUGAGUUAGCCUCCACUAUGGCCAGAGGUUUUCACAAUGAUGAGGCCCUCACCAUUGACUAUGAGGCCGAGCGCGAUGGCAUGCCCAGGAGUCGAUGGUCGUGGCAGGAGAUUUAGGGGCCAGUUGACGGGCAUCGAUGCGAACUCCACUAAUUGCAACAAUGAAUGGAGAUGGUCGGCACCAGGGAUUUGGAGCACAUAAGCUGCGGAACGUUAAAAUUAUUUUUUUAUCUUUUAUUUUAUGUUGUUGUCAAUAAAAUUGAUAUCAAUAAAUGAAUCUAGAUAUUUCACUUUUAUAAUUAUAAAGAUAUCAAUAUAAUUUUUUUAAACUGUAACGAUAAGACGGCAAAGACAACUAACUACAGAGACAAUAUAUAAUUAACCCAACUAGAGAAAGUUGUAUCUGAUCAAUAUUAAACCAACGAAUUUCCUUGAACAUGAAAUGAUAGAUUCUUUUAACCUUGGUUUCUCGAAGGUCGGGGUAGGAUACCGCCCUCCGCCCGUCCCCGUCUCCUCCUCUGGCGCAUUCAUUCUCGAGCUUCCUUCGAACACAGUUCUCGACGGCCGGAUUGCAAAGCCUCUUCGAGCUGUUCUUGCGAACUAAGAGCUGUUUCAGAAAGCGGAUCUUGUUCUACCACGAGAAGCGCUGCGCAUCGUGGGCCGCACCAAAAAACGCUCCUUUUUCUCCCUGUUUUGGUCUUUUGUGUUUGGUUUUAUCUUGGCAUUUGGAUCACACAGUUCUCUCUCUGGUGGGUCGAAUGUGUACAUAGUUUGCUCUUUUGUCAUCUCCGAUCCCAAUCGUGUAAUUCUCUCUCAAAAUGCCAAAAGAUUAAGCUUUACUUUUUUCCAUGAACAGAGUGGUAGGUUGAUUUCAACGGAGGAACUUGUUUUGUUAUGGAGCCAAACUAAGUCUCUGACUUAUAAUUUUCAAAAAAUAAAAAAAAUUGAUAACUACACACAAUAGAUAUAAUUGUUAUUUUAGAUUUUAGUUGUCGUAGAGGUUUGGAUCCAACUCGGGUCCAACAUUUAAGUCUAUCCUAAUUUUAUUAUAGGAUCGAUACUUGUUAAAAUUAUAUCGGAGACAUACUUGAUGAGAGUAUGUUUGAUACUUAAUUUAAUAAUAUUAAUAAAUUUGAAAUACAGAAAACAUAGAUCGAUAUUUUAGAUACGUCGUAAGCUAAACAACCAAUUUGUAACGAGCUCAAAUAGCCACUAAUAAUUAUUUGACAUGCAUCAUCAUUGGGUUUUUCAUAUGUCACUUAUUACGUUUCAAAUUAUUGUUUCAUUACUACGAUGCUCACGAAACUAUAUGACAUAUUUUUGCAUGAAACUAUUCCUUCAUCAAAACUGUAAAAAGCUUAGCUUGAGAUUGAUUCUAUAACAUCUAAACCAACACAUCAAUCAUCAUCCCUACAAAAUUUAAAAUUAACACAUAAUUUUAAGAAAUUUGUGUGUCUCUGAGAAGGGGCAGCCAAAAUUUAACAUUCUAUAAUCAUUUUUAUAUUAAUUUACUUGAUAGUCUAACAACAAAACAUAAAUCUUAUCAUGUACCAACAUUCUUACAUUAGCAUUCCUUCUAAAUUUUCUUUAGUAAAAGGUCAUAUUAUAGAAUCCUACAUUGUAAAAUGAAGUGUUUGCCGUAUCUCUGUCACACCAACUGGCGGAAGGCCAAGCCGCACUGUCGUGGACUAUGACAUGGGGAUGGUUACCCACUCUCGACUGGCAACCAUUUCAUUUAGUUCCUCUAUCUCUUGAAUUGCUACUGUGAUGCUGUGAGUUCCGUAACGUCGCCCGCGGCUGUAUGAUUGUAUCUUUUUAUCUUCCGACCCAAAUGUACUUAUGCUCUCACCGACCAUUGACGGGCCCCAUCGCAUCAACGGUUAAGAUCAGCUUUCUGAAGGCCAUCAACGGUUUGAGAGAUCCUACACUUGAUUCUCUUAUCGUGAAAUGAACGGCCUUCGUCGCUCCACGUUUGUCUCUCUCAAUGGAUAUUUAGACCAAUGAUCCAAGGGACGCAAACCGUCAACGCUCCCUGCUCUCUGCUCUCUCGCCUUCUUCCAUGUUCUCCUGUCUCCCAUAGACACACCGGCGCGGUGUGGGAGGGAAGAAUCCAUCGCAAGGGAAGACGACUCGAUCGAUAGAGUUGGAGGAGGGCUUGGAGGGAUCGCCUUUUCUCCCCAAAUUUUGGAUUCAAGGAAGAAGACCUUCUUCUCCGGUUCUCGAUUCCGUUAAGACUUGUUUUUGCUUGCGGAAGUCUCUCAUCUUAAGAAACUUCGCGAUAAUCUGUAAUACACAAGAAAGAAGCACUGUUUUUAGCUUACUAUACUCUGUUGUGCAGUCUCCACGAAUCCGGCACUUCUUUGAUCUUAUCCUCCGCUGUGCUUUCAUCACCGAGAUUGGUUUAAACUGAAGGGAAGAGGACAUUUCUGAUCGUUGCAUGGCGGACUCAGACAACGAAUCGGGCGGACAGAGCAACAGCAAAGCAGGGUCGUCGGCGGCAGCCCGGGAGCAGGAACGCUUGCUGCCGAUCGCCAACGUGAGCCGAAUCAUGAAGAAGGCGCUCCCGGCGAACGCCAAGAUCUCCAAGGACGCCAAGGAGACGGUGCAGGAGUGCGUGUCCGAGUUCAUCAGCUUCGUCACCGGCGAGGCCUCCGACAAGUGCCAGCGAGAGAAGCGCAAGACCAUCAACGGCGACGACCUUCUCUGGGCCAUGACCACCCUCGGCUUCGAGGACUACGUCGAGCCCCUCAAGGUCUACCUGCAGAGGUUCCGCGAGAUGGAAGGCGAGAAGGCUGGGGGCGCCACUUCAUCUCAGUCGCAGCACAAGGACGGCAGCGGCGGAGGAAGCGGCGGCAAUGGGGGCGGUGGCAGCAUAUACGGCAGCGGAAUGAUGAUAAGGGGCCAGCAGAUGUACGGCUCGGGGACACCAUCGGCCCUGCAGCCAUAUCAGCAUCGUGGAUGACUGUGGGAGCAAAGAACAGCCUGAGUGGCGGUGGCAAUGGUGGAAGUUCUCCUCCUAAUGGUAUGACGUUUGAUGACAAGGCUCAGUCGAUUACCAGUAUCUCCUUGAUGUAUGAUUGUACUGUUGUAUUGAUCUACGUUGCUCACAGUAAAGUAUAAACCUUUACUGCUCAAUAAUCCAUCGAAGAAGGCAUAGUCGAAGUUGAGGCAACACGGAAUUAUAUUGUUUGAGUUCGUCCAAGUACUGUGUCUAUUGUCUGCCAGUCUGCAGUUCCUUGCUCUAUCAAGAACUACAUUGGUGUAUCAUCUUCUUUAGAGGUCUCUCAAGUUUCUUUACUCUCUAACUCAAGAAUUCUGUAACCUCUGGGGGGGAUACAUAUCCAAUGCUUUGUUGCUCAGCGAUUGUGGCCUUUCCCUGUCAUCAAAUAAAAAGAACUCGCGAAUUCUGAGGGCAAUGGCAACGGUACUUGGUGCUCUCUGGGUGGAAUAUUUCCCAGUGCUGGCAGAUUUCAUGGAACAAAGGCCUAAACUUAACCGAGUAAAACUUUGCCCCUUGCUUUCAAAGUGGCAGAUUUCAUGCACACAUCGGAUUCCCACCGGCACGCAAUCGGGGAAAUAAUAUGAUGCAGUUGGAAAAAGAAUUUAGUUCAAAGAAUUAGAUGAAGUGUUAACCUUUGCUGCCUCUCAUAAUCUAUCCUUCUUCCUCGUCAUCGUCCCCUGUGGAUAAGAAUCUAGCGGUAAACUUGGAACAAGUGGGCACCAUUUGGUUAAAGCAGUUGAUCGCUUGCGAGGGACUUCCCGGCGGUUUGAAUUAUCCAAACACAUACUUUCAGUCUUCAAUGUUUGUAAGUUCGUUAGCUCAAUAAUAUGCAGGCAGAAUCCUCUGUUUUAUGAUCUAUCUAUCUAUCUAUCUAUCGUAAAAUGAAGAAUGAUUCCGUGCAGAUGAUUGAUGAUAUAUUGCACGUAUAUGAACAAAGUCUCGAUCAAGGUUCCAAUCUUAUUCAAGGCAAAUUGAAGAUAGGAUAUAUCCAGCUCACAUGCCUCUUAUUGAAGGUUCAAUCUUCCUAGCUUCCAUGCCAAAAACUUGCCUGGAUGAAUGCUCGGGUAUAAUAUUGUCCACGAAGCAGAGCAAAUGCCUCGCUUUCUCAUUAAUAUCGAGCAACAUGGCAGCGACAUCAGACCGGCGCACGGCCCAUCAUGUUCCCCACCAAAUCUACCCCACAGGCAACUUGAACAUAUUACUGCAGAAGGUGUAGGGUUCUUGAUCUGAGCACAACGUAUCAGUCUCAUUCUUUUUAGUACGUAGCUGCAGAUGUGAAGGAAUUCACCUCUGCUGGCUUCUCCAAAGCCUUAAAUCCCAUACUGACUCCACAUAAACCCACUGUUGAGAUACCACUAAUAUUAAUUAUUUUAUUUCUUUUGAUUAUCGUAUCUGAAGAACGUCUUUUCUCUUUAGUAUAUUAUUAUAGUAUCUUAAAUAAUUUUAUCUUCUAUUAUCAAAGUAAUAGGAAGUUGUUGAGGAAUAAAAAUAUUUUCUUUUCUAAUAACUUUAUUAUAUGUUGAAUUACUAGUCUGAUCCUUCGUAUUUGGAUUAACUUUACUGGAGUGCCAAUUUGAUAGGUUAUUUUCGGAUGAUCUCUUUAACUACUCAUAGUUUAUAAUCAAAGGUGACUUUUGAUGGCUGAUGUGCCCUUAACCCACUCUGCUCUCCGAUUCAAAAUAUGUAUCUAUCAAUCAAUCCAAUUAAUAAUUUAAAUGGGGUGGCCAACAAUUAACUAAUCCGGUGUUGCCCAACUUAUAUAAUGUUUCAUCCGUAAAUAAAGCCUUUCAGCCGUCGCCCAAGGAAGUAUUACGCCUUCGGCUACGCGACUCCACAUUUUCAUUCGUAUCUCCCUCUCCCAAGGGAGGCCGCCCGCAGAUGCAUAGUAGUUAGCUUCAUCUCCAGCUUCUUCCAAUGGCAUGGAGGCGAAGGAAGCUCUAAAUCUAUGUUCUCCAUCCCUCAUGCUCUUCCCUAAAUUUAAACUACUCAUCUCGACGACAACCCUAGCCGCCACCGCCGCUGAGGUACGCCCCUUCCAUCAUCUCCUCCCUUCCAUCAAAGCCUACUACUCCUCCUCCUCGUCUUCCCCCGUUGAUAUUCCCCCUUUCGACGCCCUCGUCUCCGGUAUCCUCGACUCUGAUCCCGCCGCCUUCACCCGUGGCUUUCGUGCUCCGGACUCCAUCAAGCCUCUCCUCUCCGAGCCUCACCUAUUCCUCGCUGCCCUGCGCUCAGUCCGACGCCGCCCUCGCCUCGCCCUCCGCUUCUUCCGCUGGGCCGAGAGCCAGCCCGGCUUCCCCUGCUCGGAGGCCGCCUUCUGCGCCGUCCUCCAGAUACUCGCUGAGGGCGGCCUCAUGCGUGCCGCCUACUCCGUCGCCCAGCGUGUGCUUCACCUCCGUCUCCACGGCAUCGUUGACCUCCUUAUCGACGGACACGCUGGUCCCGAGGCCACGGCCCCCCUCCUGGAUCUGCUUCUCUGGCUGUACACCAAGUGUUCGAUGGUGGAGCUCGCCGUGUCCACCUUCUAUAAGAUGGUAGCCCACGGGUUCCUGCCGGACGUCAAGAACUGCAACAGGAUUCUGAGGAUCUUGAGGGACACGGCCCAGUGGACGGAGGUGCGCGCCAUCUACAAACAUAUGAUUAAAGUCGGCGUCCAGCCUACCAUUGUAACUUUCAAUACGAUGCUCGAUUCCUUUUGCAAGGAAGGAAAGGCGGAAGAGGCUCUCAAGAUUUUGGGCGAGAUGGAAGAUCAGGACGCUGGGUGCUUACCCAAUGAUAUUACCUAUAAUGUCAUCAUCAACGGCCUGUCAAAGAAGGGGGAAUUGGACAAGGCAGAGAAGUUGCUUGACAAAAUGAGGUGCUCCCGAAAGGCCUCAUCUUUUACUUACAAUCCUUUGAUUAGUGGGUUAUUCAGCAAAGGUUUUGUCGACGAGGCACUGGGUUUCAGGGAUGAGAUGGUGGGGUUCGGAGUGAUGCCAACAGUGGUGACUUACAAUGCUUUAAUCUAUGGGUUGUGUAGGAGUGGACGGAUGGAAGAGGCCCAGGAGAAGUUUGUCGAAAUGGGUAAGAUGAAUCUGGCACAAGAUGUAGUAUCUUACAACUCUUUAAUUUAUGGGUAUUGCAGAUUAGGGAAUGUAAAAGAGGCUCUAUGCUUGUUUAAUCAUCUGAGAGAUGCACAUAUAGCUCCUAAUAUUAGAACUUACAACAUUCUUAUAGAUGGUCAUUGUAGAUUGGGAGCCCUGGAUGGGGCUCAGAAGUUUAAGGAGGAGAUGAUUUGUUCGGGGUUUCUGCCCGAUGUUUAUACGUAUACCAUUCUGGUAAAUGGGUCUUGCAAGAUGGGAAAUCUUGCCAUGGCAAAAGGAUUUUUUGAUGAGAUGUUACAAAAAGGUCUCGAGCCAGAUUGCCAUGUGUACACAACAAGAAUAGUUGGAGAAUUGAAGUUAGGGGAUACUUCUAAGGCUUUUCAAUUGCGGGAAGAGAUGAAAGCAAAAGGCAUCACUCCUAAUAUAGUUACCUACAAUGUUCUGAUAGAUGGGCUAUGCAAGAUGGGAAAUCUGAAAGAGGCAUAUGGUUUGUGGCAAAAGAUGGUACAUGAUGGAUUUCAUCCAAAUUGUGUAACCUAUACUUGCUUAAUUAAUGCACAUUGCGAGAAGGGUCAUAUGAGAGAAGCAAAAUAUCUGUUUGAUAGCAUGCUUAGUAAUAAUUUAUCGCCGACAGUCGUCACCUACACUGUUCUCAUUCAUGCACAUGCAAAUAAAGGAAAUUUGGAGGCUGCAUAUGGCUACUUCUCCAAGAUGCUGGAGGAGAAUGUCUUGCCUAACGAAAUAACUUAUAAUGCCCUCAUAAAUGGGCUCUGUAGAAAGCACAAGGUUGAAUUGGCUUAUGAGCUCUUUGACAAGAUGCAAGGAAAUGGUUUGUCCCCAAAUAAGUAUACAUAUACUUUACUCAUAAAUGAAAAUUGCAAUUUGGGUAACUGGAAAGAAGCACUGAGGUUGUAUGCUGAAAUGCAUGAGAAAGAAAUUAUUCCUGAUUUUUGCACUCAGAAUGUUUUGUUUAAAGGUUUUGGUGAAGACUUCAAGCAUCAUGCAGUGAAAUUUUUAGAAACUGAUGUUCUUUGCAGUUAAUUGAUGAUUCAAAUGCCAUAGUUAUACAUGGUCAGGGGCAGACAAAUAAGAAUUUGUGUGUUGACAUUUGUAUCACAAUUGUAUUUUUUUUCCUCUGGCAGCAGUGAUAGCAGAUAUUCAGCAUGUCUGAUGAUACGUCCACAGGCAUGUAGCUGUCCAAGUGUCCAGAGUGACUUCCAAAGACAGCAAAUAAUCUAGCACUGGCAAACUCCAGUCCUUUGCUGUGUUAAGUCAGUCAUGAUGAUGUAUUCCAUUAAAGCAUGAUGCUAAUCUGUAUGACUGAUGGUUCAUUCACAUAAAGGAGGCCACACCCAGUAAACAACCAGACAAUUUGCAGUGUUGGUGGACUUGAGUCUAAAAUAUGCAGUUUUUUCUUUUAAAUUUGUAUGAGAUGAAUAAUCAUUUUUUUAUCCUCUCAAGGGAUGAUAUCACAAAGUUGCAGCAGGUAAGGUGACAUGAUAAAUUUGUAAAUUCAUACUAUUCUUUGUAACACAAUAGUACAUCAAGCUUUGGUCUUUCAUUUGUCUCCAUAUACAGCAAUUAUUUAAUCACCACAUCUAUUUUAACGGCUGUCAUUGGAUAAUUAAACCAAAACAGUACUGUUGGGCUAAAGUUAUUCUAUUGUUAAAAGUUUUUCUCUCAUUGUGUUCCAGCUGCCUGAUUUGUGGUUUUGACCUAGUAAAAUUGAGGUAAAAUUUUUGUUCUAAAUGAUUUAUAUAAUUUUUUAUGGCAUCAAAUAUUGUUUAUUUUGCCUCCUAUCAUUCAUGUUGAUGUAAGCUGAUGGAUGGCUUUUGUAAUUUCAAUGAUGAGAUUGCAGGUGUAUGUAAAGCUGCAAACAAGGACACAAAAAAGAAGGAUAUAAACAUCUGGAGUCACAAGAUACAGAAGUUACUUAGGGAGAUGCCCUUGGUUGAUGAGGUUAGUUCUCAUUGUUAGGCUUGUCGGCUUCCUUUUAUUUGAAGGUUGAUGCACAAACUGAACUGUAAAACAAACAAACAAACUGAACUUCAUUGCUUCAUCGAAUACAGUAUAUGCCAAGUAUCAUGACAUGAACUGAUUAAGUGCACAUUGAAUUGAAACUAUUAUGAAUCCAUAUUAUCAUAAUCAUGGCAUUUUGGUCAAACAGUGUAAUCUGGAAAUUGCUUAUUUGUUGCUAUAAAUCUAGUGUGUAGACUAGCUGAUAGUUUUUUACUUUCUGGUUGUUCUAUAUAUACACUUCCUGAAACCCAAGUUCUGAAAUCCUAGCUUCUAGAUCAUGGAGUACGCACAAAAGAAGAACCAGAUAGAUGCAAAGCAGAUGUCGGGCAAUAAAUAUUUACUCAUUCGUGGAUCCAUUUCAUCUAUGCUUCGUUGGCAGUCCUAAUUUUCUAUCAUGAUGAAGGGAUGUAUCAUGACUUUGCCAUAGGUUUUUAAAUGUGAAUUCUUCAAAUUAAUCUGCAUUACUCUGUAUCUUUGUGCUUUUUAGCACUGAAUUAAAACGUGUAACUAUAAUAUGAGUUUUUAUUUUGUAAGCUUGGUUAUUCGAAGACAAUCUUGGUGGACUUUUGUUUAUUUUAACUUACAACCAUGAAAGCAAAAGUAAAAAAAGACUAUGCAAGAAUUGCUUGCAUCUAAUAAUGAAAGGAGUUGGUGUCGGUGUACUGUACUUUUGAUGGUGAAGUAUGUUGCUUCACCACUCAAUUGCCGAUUGUCAGUUAAAUUUUCUGUUAGUGACAGGUAUUAAAAUUUAAUAAUGUUUACAUGGAGUAAUUAAUAAUGGGAAAAUUUUGUGUGUAUGGUUUCAUGUCUCUCCGAUCCUUUUUAUGGGUUGUUUUCCUCGAGGGUGUAUAAUAUUUUGAGUAUUCAAAGGGCUCCUUUUUUGUCUCUCGAUGGAGAAAAUAUUUGAAAUGGAAUUUUAUUACUUGGUGUACAGUAGGAUUAUUGGAUAUGGGUGUUUUAUCAGGAAAAAGUCCCUUAAGAUGCUCAACAGUUGGAUGGGUUCUGCAGUAUAUAUGAAAUGAGAAUUUUAAUGCGUUAAGGUGCAUACUGCAUCUAAAGAGAAUUGAGCACACAUCUUAUCCAUCUGUGACUGGAUAUAUGAAGAUUUCAGUUAAUCAGAAGCACAAAUUUAUAGAUCAGCCAAAUAUAUGUUUUCUGUAGUAUUCUUAAUUAGUUUCAUCGAAAGUUGAUAAGAUUAAAAUUAACUUAUAAGGAUCUGAUUUGUAUUAUUAUUAAUUUCAACUGAAGCAUUUUAGUUAGUGGUAUACGCUAACAACUGUAUAGGCUAACGAAGUUGUGAAGAAAUAAAUAUCCAUUCUCACAUAUUCAUCAUCUAAUUUUAAUGAGGAGAUUACUCUUAACGACAGACUAUAAUUUCAGCUCAUUUUUCCAGCAAGUAAGCGAACCGUAGAUAAUGAUGAACGGAAAAAAUAGAUAUUAAAUUUUAAACAUUUGUGAAUAUAUUUCAGCUCAUUUGUGAAAAAAUAUAUUUUCUAGCAGUUCUUUAACAUUCAAGUAUCACACACUGAUAAAGUUUAAAAAAAAUCUAAAUAUAUUUUUUCGCUUUAAGUAUUUAUCCUUGUUAUUAUACAUAUAAACAUAGUAUCAGUGGAUGUUGGGAUAGUUUAGUUAUAAUCAAUAAUAUAGAUUAGGGUUCUAUAACUAUUUAGAGACCUGCUGAUGAAUCCACAACCAUAGUUUGACUAGCCCCAUGAGAAUUUUUAUAGUUAAAUCAAAUUUGGGUUAGUAGCAUUAAACCCACCCAACAUUGGACUGUCAACUUGUCCUUAUAAUAGUAUUUUUCAAUUUGUUUUCCCCUUUUCACCAUAUUAAUCCUUUUUCUUGGGAAGACUCUUCCUCUCCUUACCUUUGUAAAGGCUACAGAUUCAUGAGGGUACAAAAGCUUCAACCAUUUAUAGAUACAAUAUACAUGUUUCCUAACCAAGCACCAGAGAUAAGUCAAAACAUGUUUGCCAAUACUGUUUCAACCAACCAAAAACAAAAUAGAAGAGCAAAUACAUCCACCAACAUGCAUGCAUGGAUCUCUCAUUUGUGAUACUAACGCAGACCCUUUCUUUCCUACAUCCAUCACGGCGUCUGAGGUUUCUUGGGGCUUCCGUUAUGGUGUAACGGGUCCGGUCCCGAAGGGACCCUCAUCAACUCCGGCUCCAGUAGUUCCGCAGCCAACCCUAUCUCCGGCGGCCGCCUGUAUCCCUGCUUGAGUUCCUCCUUCCACGCCCCGUGCACCUGUGUACAUGGCAAAAGCGGAAGAAACAAGACGUGAGAUAUAAUUAAUAGGAAAACCUACUCCUAACGAAGCAAAAUUUUUAGCAGACUUAACGAAUUGUUUCAAGAGAUCAACCUUUCUUCCAUUCUCAGGUGGAGCAGUCUCCGGAUUCCAACAGCUGCCAAGCUCGAUUUGGCAACCUGCAUAAUGAAUGAACAUUGAGUCAAAGCACGUAUAUACUAGAAAGGGUUAAAGGGACGAACCUAAACGCCCAUCCGCCACAAAGACGGCCAAGAUCAACAGAAAGCACCAAAAUAAUAGACCAAACAGACCCAUUAUCUCCUUCGUGACAGUCUUAACUGGUGGCUGAUGCAGUUUCUCUUUGGUCCGCGGCUGCUGUAUUUAUAGCAUGGAAAGUAGAGCACCUCAACCUGAGGUUUUUAUAAACUAAGCUCGGCCUUCGCUCUCCUCUCAGACAGGAAGAUCUGUCGGAGAUCCAAUUCAUCGCAGAGGUUUUAAGACAAGAUGGAUUGCAGUUGGAUCACCGGCGGCGCAACAGAAUCAUAUAUGAUGCAUGUACGCACGCUGUGCCUGACAAAGCUCAACCUUCUCUCCUCCCGCCUACUUCAUCUGGCACGUGCCGACACGACUCUCUCCCAGUAUCUUCGCCUCCGUUCGUGUCCCUCUCCCUUCCCCUCCUGACGUCAUCCGGAUCUCGUCGCCAUAAUUGACAUUAGCCUCCAUUCCGAAAUGCUUUUUUACGUGCCAUUUCUCGUUUCUUUUAUUGUUAUUCUUACUUUAAAUAUAAAAUCAGUUUAAUUUUUGACCCUGCACACAUACACAUAGAAUGCAUGAAACAACAGUGUGACAUUAAGAUGCGACGACAGGAACGGAAACAAAAAUCAAAAGUUAACGUAAGCGCGAGAGGCCAUUUUGAUCACCAUCUCCUCGGCUGAUUCGAUUCUUUUCGAAGAUACAGACGAUGGUGGUCAAUUGUGUCAGAAUAAAGUGUUCAUCUCACGGUCCUCGGCACGGCCGGACGAGUUAGAGAUGGCCGCCAUUAGCGAGGUAUUCGUGGCGUCGUACUACUAGAACCCUAGCACAAAAAAGAGGGCCAUGGAGUACUAAGCUGCUUAUCAUUUAGCCCGUUUCGGAUCAGACGGCUCUCGUGAUAUGGACCCACUGUAUCAUCCUACCGUCCACGAUGCUUCUAUUGCUUUUGUAGGAUUAGGUUGCUUACUGCACGAGUCUGUGUCGCUGCAUGCAGCGACUACGUACUAUCCUGUCAGCUUUGACAGGUGUAUUGUGCUGGAUGUGUGGUCGUAGGUGUCUUCAAAUCGGUUCAUUGUUACGAUUAAAUCGAAUCGAAUCAGUUUUCGAUUUGAUUUAAUUUAAUUAAAAUAAGUUUAAAUUAGAAUCUGAUUCGUUUAAUCGAUUAAUUGAUAUAUAUAUAUAUAUAUAUAUAUAUAUAUAUAUAUAUAUAUAUAUAUAUAUAUAUAUAACCAAAAAAGACAAAUAUUUCUUUCUUUCUCAUAGACCAUACGCACAUCAUUCACUCGUUCCGUUGCAACCAGGAGGAGAAGAACCUUAAUAUAGCAUUGAACGAGAACGGUUUACAAUCUAACCCCCUUAGUGCAGGCGAGACCACGAAUUUUAUGGCUGGCUAGCUGCAUGUAUUUUGCUAAGAACCGGUAGUUAAAAUAGCUAAAUAAAGUCAACAUUAUUGUAACAAUUGCCAAGAAAAGCUCUUUUGUCCACAUCGUGUAGGUUAGGACGACGUCAAGAAACUUUCUUUAUCCAUUAAUUCUCCCCUUAUAUAAGUACACACGCCCUCUCCGUCCUCUCAACGGCAGAUCGCCAGCUACUUUGGGGAGCUCCGGCCCCAAAGAAUCUUCAUAGGUUUCCUCCUUUCACUACGUCCACAAGCCAAAGUUCAUGCACACUCUUGUCUAAGAUUAGCAAAACAAACGAGGAUCGUAAGAGAUGUCGAAUAAGGCCGUCUUGGGUGCUCUCUCAGCGGUCCUCCUUGUGGCCGCGGUGAUAGGUACGGUAGCCACCGUCGCAAGCUCCAACCAUAAGGCGGCGAGUGAUGAUUCCCUUGCCGCCUCCUCCAAGUCCGUGACGGCCAUCUGCGCCUCCACUGACUACACUGACGUGUGCGAACGGACCCUCAGUUCUGCCAUCAAUGGCUCUGCCUCUCCCAAGGAGAUCAUCCAAGCAUCCUUCAUGGCAGCCAUCAAAGAAAUCGAAGCUGCCUCCCACCUGUCCAAGAACGUGAGUUUGAGCGCCACUGACUCGAUGAACAAGGAUGGGUUCGACAUUUGUCGUCGACUCUUCGAGGAUGCUAAUGAGGAGCUACAAGCUGCCUUCUCGGAGACUCAUGACCUUGACGGUUUGGCGAGAAGGACCGAUGACAUCAAGUGCUGGCUUUCAGCCGUCAUCUCCUACCAGCAGACCUGCCUCGAUAGCAUCACUCAACCCGACCUACACUCGACCAUGAAGGACGGGCUUGUCACGGCCUCUCAGGUCACCAGCAAUGCCAUUGCCAUCGUCGAUGGGCUCAGUUCAUUAUUCAAGAACUUCCAAGUUCCCAUCAACGUGACCAAUAUCGCCAGCCGCCGGCUACUGUCUCAGGGGAGCGAUGCCAAGGGUUAUCCCACGUGGUUCUCGGCCCAUGACAGGAAGCUCUUGGCUGCCAGUGCGAGAGGUGAGUUGAAGCCUAACAUGGUGGUGGCUCAGGAUGGGAGUGGAGACUAUAAGACUAUCAACGCUGCCCUCAAUGCCAUGCCCAAGAAGUAUACAGGCCGCUAUGUGAUCUACGUCAAGGCCGGGAUCUACAAGGAGAAUGUCCUCGUCACCAAGGACAAGGUGAACGUGUUCAUGUAUGGUGAUGGACCAAGGAAGACAGUCGUGACUGGCAGCAAGAACAACGUCGAUGGCGUUCAAACCAUGAAUACUGCGACCUUCGGUCUGACCUUCUUUGCUUUCAUAAAUCCUAUAUUAUGCUACGUUUCACAUCUACUCACUUACCAUCUGACAUAUCAGUUGUGACCUAAGUUAGAUAUAGCAAACAUAUUACUGCAAUCAAUCUAUAUAACACUUACUACACCAAACUAAAUCUUGAUAGUAGAGACAAUGAAAUAUUGAGAGUGAAGCAAAACAUAUGCAUGUCUGAUCUAAAGUUUUAUGCAAUUGGCAUUUUCCAGCUGCCGAAGGGCAGGGCUUUAUUGGAAAGUCAAUGGGGUUCAGCAACACCGCUGGACCAGAGAAGCACCAAGCCGUGGCGCUUCGUGUGAAAGGGGACAUGUCAGCCUUCUUCAACUGUCGUAUGGAUGCGUUCCAGGACACUCUCUACGUGCAGGCCCAUCGGCAGUUCUACCGCAACUGUGUGGUAUCGGGGACUGUUGACUUCAUCUUCGGUGACUCCUCCACCAUUCUUCAAAACUGCCUCAUCGUGGUGCGGCGCCCCAUGGACAAUCAACAGAACACGGUGACAGCACACGGACGAGAGGAGGAGAAGGAAGAGACCGCACUUGUGAUCCAAAACUGCCGAAUCGUCCCCGACAAGCGCUUGUUCCCGGACAGGUUGAAGAUCCCCAGCUACCUUGGUCGGCCUUGGAAGGCACGCUCGAGGACCAUCAUCAUGGAAUCCACCAUCGGCGACUUGAUCAAACCGGAGGGAUGGUUGCCAUGGGAUGGCGACCAGUUUUUGAACACACUAUAUUAUGCCGAGUAUGGCAACCGUGGGCCCGGUGCCGGGACCAGCGGCAGGGUGAAUUGGCCUGGGUUUCAUGUCAUCAACAGGCAGACGGCCCAAGCGUACACAGUGAAUUCCCUAAUCCAAGGUCACCGGUGGAUCAAGUAUUCGGGCAUACCCUAUCUUGGUGGGUUUAAAAAUUGAUGUAAUUCCUAUCUCGUGUGCGUACACCCAAUAUUGAGAUAUAAGAUGUAAGAGAAGUGUGGAGAUGAUGAUGAAAAUAAUAAAGCGAAAGACGGAGAUUGAGAGACGCGAUGUUACUAUGAAAGAUUUCUUCCUUAAUUUCAUUAUUGAUACACUCUCUCAAUUAAAUAUUUCGUUGCGUUGGUGUUUUGAGGAUCAACAAAUUUUUUUGAUAAAUCUGUUGCGAUAGCUCUUACCAUUCAAUUAGUUAUAUUAUCGACUAAUUUUUUCAAUAUGUUCAUCAAUAUCGGAUUGAUGUUUAAUUCUUUAGCUUGAUAUCUUAUUCUCAGACUUAUUAAACACAUUUAAUCAGAUAUUAAUUUUUAAAUUUCAUCAAUUGAUUUUAUUCAUUAAAAUACCAUACUCAACAUGGAAAAUUGUACUAUGUGUUCCUUUCUAUUUCUUGCUUACUUGCUCCUAAUUACUUUGAAUACUUGCUUCCUUUGUUAAAUUUUUUAAGGAUGGUCAAAUUUGCACCAUAACACUAAUUCAAUUUUUUAUGUCUGUAAGAUCCUAUCAAUUUUUUUAUGAACCGAGGAGCAUCUCAACUAUAAGAUCUAUUCCUCAGUCUCGUAUAUAUAAAAAGUAUAAUCAUGAAAGUGGAUAGACUUGAAGAAAGAGAUUUUAUGAGUAAAUGUAAGUUCAAAGUGCUAUUAUGGAUUGUACCUCUCUUCUCUUAUGUUUUUUGCUUAUUUAUAUAUUUACUUAACCUUAUUUUAUUAUUACUCUCACGUUCUUACAAAGUUUAGAAAAAUAUUUUUCAAUAUACUUGUACUAAAUCAAGAUUCUCUCAAUUAACUGAAUAUCUAAAAAUAAUUAAUAGUAUGUCAUGUAAUAUAUGUUCACUCAUGUUUAAUGAGACGAAUUUCAAAAACUAAUUAAACACAUAUAUGCAUGAAAUAAUUUUUAAAAAAUUAUGAAUGUUUUAUUUUAUUUUUUAGAAAGAAAUGAGUUUAAAAUGAAAUCAAACGAGUCCAUUCACAAAAGCUUAUGAAUGUUAAUAAUAUAUUAGAAUUAGUUGUGAAAGUUUAUCUAAUAUUGAAUUAGUGCAUAAAGUUCUUAACUCACUUCUAAAUAAUUGGGAUAAAUGGGUGUUGUUGCCUUGAUAUCGUUGAUCGAGAAACGGCACGACUUGAUUUUGUCCCAAAGAUGCAAGUUUAUCCGAAUGGCCCACGUGACGAUUGUGUGGGGGGACCCAAGCUAGGGAAGAUCAGGUUGAAGCGAUCCCGAGGUACUACUUGUAUGUCCAAGGUGGAUCCCAAGUUGAGACCAGGUAGUCCGGACCUCCUCGAAGUUUUGGAGAUGAGUCGAGGUAUGCCUUAUCUCCGUUGGAAAUUCUUCAUAAGCAAUCAGGUUUUAGGGGAGUACCUGACUUGACCCCUAUGAUGGUAAAGUCAAUAUGAGUGGGAGUAUGAAUAAUAUAAAUCUUGUGUCUAGUCCCCUCUUUUGUCCUUAGGGAUUGACAUUCAUAUUUGGGCAACCGAUGGAGAGAGACUGAUGUCUGAUAAGGACGGGCCCAUACACCCUCCUAGGGCUCAUUUACUCGAAUGGCAAGAUGGUACGAUCUCCUGUGACGUGUCAUUAGUGAAGAACAACUACGGGGGCAUUACUUGUCAAUGCUAGCAAUCGCUUGGGACAUGCGGAAGGCAAUCGACUACAUCAGCCAAUCGAGAAAGGAGCAUACAAGCCUUGAUGCCAUGGAGUUAUUGCUCCUGGCGACUAGCCUAUACCCCAAAAUCGUGGCAUGACAAGGUAGAGGGUUGCUGCCAAUGGCUCGAUCAUGGCAGGCAGAGGGCUUCACCAUAGCGAGCCAAGUGCUCCCUCAUAACAUGAGUCAAGGGCUAUACUAGCCAAAGCAGCACAUAUAUCUCAAAGCAGUAUAAAAUGACAUAAACCAUAGGGUCGAGAGGAUGGCUCCAGAAUAGACAAACCACCCACUAGAAAUAUCAAUAAAUACCAACAAGCAUAGGAGGAGCCAACUCCCUACAAAAGGUAUAAAAAUCACCCCUAGGUAGAUGCUAGGGGAUGGGAUUCACUAUCCACAAAGACUGAAUUAAGCUUCAGAUGGAUCAAGUUAGAACUCCCAUCUUCGACAUUGACCUGUUGUGUAAGCACUCAGGAACAGAAGCCCCUUGCAAAUCCACCAUAAAACACCCUAGAAGAUGGGUGACCAUAAUUCUUCAUCCCUUCUCCGUGAAGCCUUUCUUCUAAGUAAUCACACGGAUGACCUUACACUAUCAGGAUCGAACCAAGCUGUGCCCCUUCCCAAGCCAUGACAUAAAAAACUAUAAUAUUUUUGGUGCUAGAAGAAGGGCUCGAUAUCGCAAGAACGUCCACUAGUAAACAACCUCAAUGAGCACCCUUUGGAGGUGCCUGCUACCCAUUCUACCUUUUUGCCUCAAAGGCCAAUCAUUUGCUCCUCUGCAGAUCAAUGGGAACACCACCACCCAGAUCUCUACGGGCUAUUGGUGUUCAUUCAAUGACCCUGGGCUCUUACCUCUUGGGAUUGACAUAAGAUAAAUGGUGGUUCUCGCAGAGACAUUCCUUACCCUCACGUAUCGGUGUAGGCAUUGGUAGGGAUUAUGCAGAUUAUCUCACCCUAUAUACCACAACUCAUUUAAGAAGUUGCCCCUCCCUUAUCCUCAUCACUUGUAUCUCAACUAGCCUUUGCUCUCCCGAGGCACGACACUUCUCCAGUUGGCCCAUCGCCUAUGGCUCCUGACAUUGAUCAUCCAAUCGAGGAACAACCAGGAAACCUAAGACCAACAUCAAGGCAUGACACUCGACAUACCAUUCCUGCCUUUCCCAAAGCAGAUACAAUGCCAUUUGACUUAGUGGAGGACUCAUUGUAGGCUCAAGUGUGGAGGAUGAACCGACACCUAGAUGAGGUCCAGAAGGAAGUAUAUAAAACCUACUAGGAUUAUGGGGACGGUAUGAUAAGAGGGUCCCCCUUCACCCAAGAAAUUCAAGACAAACCUAUCUUGCUCCACUUCUGCCUCUUGACACUGGAGGCCUAUAAUGGUGGUGUUGAUCCGACAGAAUAUGUCAUUGCCUUCCGACAGAAUAUGUCAUUACCUUGGAUGUUUUUCCACUAUGGCUUAUGCAUAGGCUUUUCUUCCGACUAUGUUGUCACCACCAAAUGUUGGUUUGCCAAUAAUCACAUCAAUCUGUUUCUCGAUGGGGCCAUGAGGGUGAGGAGAGGGCUCUUAGUCCUUUGAAGGUAUCGCUCGAGGUGUCCUCUAUGGAUAAGGUCCUUGAUUUAGUAUUUCAGAUCUCGAUAUUCUUUGGUGUCAUGGCCAUAGUCUCGAUGGUACCUGCAAUAUCUUAUUUUAUCUUUGAACUCAAACGAGGUCUUCAAUGGUCUGGGCUCCCUUAAGAGCCCCUUUUCCUUGAUUUGGAGAAAGAUUUAUAUUCUUGAUGAAUUGAGAGGUGGUGGUGGUGGCGGCCUUGGGAGUGGAGGCUCCGGCCUGUUGAAUUUCUUCUUGGAUAGUCCUAGGGAUGAAUCUCAGGGCUAUUCUGUACAGGGCCUUUUAUUUGUCUCCUCGCGCCUCACUGCCAACAAUGUUUCGGUGGUAAUGAACUAAUGAGCCCUCUGGAACAUCUCAAAGACUGUCACUGGGGCAUUCGACUAAUGACUAAAAGAAUCUUGUGGGUAAGUCUAAAUAUGCAUGGAAUUGCUUAAUAAGUGAGCAUAUAAGUAGUUCUCAUGCGAUUUGAGAGGCUUUGUAUUGUCGGGGCCAACUGUCUAUUACAUAAGAAAAGUAAGUCCUCCCUGAAAGAAGGGAAAGCACUAUAAUUUUUGGAGAAUCCGGCUAGCCAAUAGAAAGCUAGUAGGGGCUUUAAGCGAGCAUUUCGUAGAGAGAGAGAGAGAGAGAGAGAGAGAGAGAGAGAGAGAGACUCAUUCUCCUUCUACCUUAGCUUGAGGAGUGUCACUAUAGAUGGCUUGGGUCGUACAUUGACCAAGAAGUGUAACUCGAAUUCCUUAGCGAGUUGGUCAAAAGAUGUGAUUGAAAAUAGCUGUAGCCGAUUGUACUACACCCGACCCGGUCCUCCAAGGGUGGUGGGAAACGCUCGGCACAUUAGAGUGUUGGAUAACUCGGCACAUUAAAGGGAUGACUCGGAAGUCACUUUUGAAAUCACUAAAGCUCGUGUAAAGAGAAUUAUGGUGGAUACAGGAAGUUUCGUUAAUAUCUUAUACUUUGACGCUUUCCAAAAGCUCAGUUUAGUAGAGAAGGACCUCACCCCGAUGACCUUGGCUCUUACUAUGUUCACAAGGGAUUCCAUCUCUCCCGUUGGGACCACAACCUUGCCCAUCACCAUCGGCGAGGAACCAAGAUCCAAGACUAUGAUGAUCACAUUUAUGGUGGACAACCUUCCUUUAGCAUAAUGGACCCUCGAGAUAUGGCAAAUGCACCACCUCACCCUAAACUAAUGGAGCGAGUGCUAGAGGUCCCCCUUGAUAAAAGUCAAUCGGACAUAGUCAUAAAAUUUGGGUCUGCUCUUUUGAAAAAGGACUAGGUUCAACUUAUUGAUUUCGUUGUAAAAAAUGCCGAUGUAUUUGCUUGGUCCCCAAAGGACAUGUCAGGAAUCGACCCAAGGGUCACACAACAUCAAUUGAAUAUUCUUCUUGAAGCACGAUCCGUGAAGCAAAAGUUGCAAAAGUUCUCUCUCGAUUGGAAAUAAGCCAUAAGUAAUGAGGUAGACCAGCUACUAAAAGCAGGAUAUACAAUAGAGGUAAAGUACCCUCAAUGAUUGUCCAAUGUAGUAUUGGUCAAGAAAUCUAUUGGGAAACUUAGGGCAGCAUUAUAUGCAUAGUGGAAGAAUAGAAAACAAAAUCUCAAAGUUUUCGUAGAAAAAGUUUUUCAUCGUCAUGCAAAGAUUAGUGCGCAAAAACCUGUAAAACUAAAAAUUGCACAUAUGUGAAAGAUGUAUUACCUGAGGAGAUCAUAUAUCCCUGAAAACAUAUAUAUUUGUGUGAGAGGAUGAAUGAGAUCAACUAUCCUCCUAUCUAGCGGUGAUCCACAUGAUAGAUGUGGUGAAGACGCUACUCAAAUCACUACAUAAUCCUCCUCUCUAUGUGCACCACAUGAUAAAGAAGGGGUCUACCCUUCUUGCAGUCCACACACCCCUUAAUUGGGGCUGUCGGCUGAGGAGGAGAGGGAGAGAGGAGUACAGAAAGUGGUAGCCAAAAGGAGUCUAGCCUAUACCCCUUUGGUUCUAGAGGUUAUUGUCAAUUUAACCCUAAUGGAUCUUGUCAAAUUGGGUACUAUAUCUCUAUCCAAUUACCCAAGCAUCUUGGAUUAGUGGAUUUCUACCUAAUAAUCUCUCCUUUUUAGAUCUUAUCUACAAGAUCCAAUAAUUCAAUGGCUUAUUAGAUAUAAAAUAAGAUAGGGACUCUAGCGAAUAUCUCAUAUCUAAACUCACAACGCCUACCAUAUCUUAUAUCCAAGAGAUCGCCUCUGGUAUCGUGAGGCUAACGGUAGGGUCAAUAGUGGGGCUAUUGUUAUUUAAGUGCAACAACUUCUGGUGCUUCUUCACAUUGUAUGAGAAAUCAAUGAAGAUGGGGAUGAAGGGAGUAGAGGGGAAAGACCAAGUGAUAGUUAGCAUCACCUCCAGGGGCGAAGUCAUUGAGCUCAAGGACAUGGUGCUUCGGGGAGGCACCGCGAUCGCUCUCGACGAUGUUGCCAUUAUGAGUGUUGUCGACGCACUUAAUGAGCUAAUUGAGGGUGAUGGACUUUCCAUCGUCACAACCUCUUAAGUCUUGGUUGAUGUUAGCUUAGGGAUAUGGUGGCUGAGUAGGCUAUCAUGGUCAAUAUCGUCUACCUCUACCAUCGGGAAGGAUCGUUGGUCAAACUAGAAUAUCCUAUCCACAAACUAGAAUAUCCAUCGGGAAGGAUCGGGAAGGAUCGUUGGUCAAUAUCAUCUUGUUAGGGUCUUUUGUUAGCUGCUAGUGCUAAUGACGGUUGAGUUGCUGAUUGUGGUUAAAAUAGUAGCCUCACUUAUUAGGCUAGCUAGGGCAAGAGCGGAAUAACAGUUUGCAUCACUCCCAUUAAUGUUUACACCUACUGGGUGAGGUAUAGGAACACCUCAACGAGGACAAGCAGGUGGCUCGGGGUUGCCUCCAAGGGCGAGAGGCCUAGGUCGUUGAGCAGACACCCGUGUCACAAUAGUAUUUGAGCCAAGGUGGAUACAUCCAUAUAUAGAAACAGCCUCCUCGCUCGAGCAUUCAUUGAGAAGGUUGGUAGGCAGAUGUUCUUGCAACAUCAGACACUUCCUCUAACAUCAAAAUGUCAAGAGAAAAUACUGUUGACGUCUUGAUCAACCCGAUGUGAUCCGGACCUGUAUGUUCUAGACUAUCCGAAGUAUCCUCAAGGUGAAAUUUUUGUGCUCCCCAGGUAUCACCUAUAUGAAGAUCGAGAUCGAGAGAUGUUACUUGACUCAGUCCCUUCGACCUAAUACGGGAAUUUGUGGGUUCAAAAUGUUCAAAAUGAGUCUCUUACAAUGGAUUUAAGAUAUAUUUUUAUAUCUUAGAGGAUGAAAAAGGAGUUUGUGAAAAUAGUCUCGAAGAUAUCUUUUUAUGCCUUGAGAGGAUAAAAAAAAGUUUGUAAAUUUUAUGUCUUAAGAGGACACGAGAUUGUGUUUACCUGCUUUGGAUUUUAAAACUCAUAAAUCAAUUACCUUCGUUAUCAUAGAUGAAAAAAAAACUUNNNNNNNNNNNNNNNNNNNNAUCUAUUCGCUAACCGAGGAGCAGUCGGGAGACCCAAGGACGAUUGUGGAGUGCAGCACUCUCGCACUCGGGUGUGUUGCACCGACCUUCCCCACAACCAACGUUCAUCCUUGCGUUCCAGGACACAUCCCUAGUCUGACAACUGCCUUAGCAUCCAUAUGUCCAUCCGCCGACCGAGGAGUAGUCGGGAGACUUGACGCUCACAGUGGAGUGCAGCACCCCCACACUCAAGCGUGUUGCACUGAUCUUCCCCGAGCCCGACACCUUAUCGUCUGAUUCGACAAACGCCCGUUCAUGGCCCAACUGUGCCUAGUGAAUCAAUGCUUAUACGAGGUCCAAAGGGUGUUCCAUAAAUCGACGGAAAAGCUCAGGUAAGGCUCCUCGGUAAGGUCCCCCUUUGUCCAGGAAAUCCAAGAUAGACCUAUCCCCCUCAAUUUCUGUCGCUCGACCUUGGAGGCAUAUGACGACUGCACUAACCCAGUAGAGCAUGUCGCUGCAUUCUGAGCCUAGAUGGCCCUCUAUGACACCUCAACGCUCUCAUGUGUUGGGCAUUUCCCACCAUCCUCUGAUCUCCAGCUCGGAAGUGGUACAGCUGACUGAGGCCAUACUCGGUCUUGUCUUUUGAUUAGCUCGCAAGAGAUUUCGAGCUAAAUUUAUUGGCCAACGAACAAACUAAACCUUCUGUGACCAUGCUCCUCGGGUUAAGUUAGAAGGAGGAUGAAUCCCUUUCUCCCUUUGUCGCUCACUUUGCCACUAUGAUCUGAGGGGUCCCUGACACUCACCCCUCAGUGGUUAUGCAAGCAUUCUUAAUGGCCCUAUGACCAUUAAGAUUCUUUUGGUCACUAGUUGAGAAGCCACCAAUGACUAUUCCCGAGAUACUUUAGUGCGCCAACCAGUAUGUCACUACUGAGGCACUAGUGGCAGGAAAACGUGAGGACCACAAAAGUGUUUGAUGUUGAAAUCAAUUGAUGAAUUUAUGAACUAACAAGUGUUUAAGAUGAGUGACGCAAGAUAAACUUCGACCAUAGACUUGAUUCAUUGAAGUAGAAUUAGACGUUAUGUCAGAGAGCAUCGUGUUAGAGAUUGGAUGUCGGGCCAAAGGAUUGGUGAUAUGUCAGAGGAUGAACUUCGUGCCAUUAGUUCGGGCAUCGGGCUAGAAGGAUCGAGUAUUACAGCAAGAAGAUCGGAUUUUAUGAGAGGUCAACAUAUUAAUGGAUUGGGCAAUACACCGAAAGAAAGACAAUACGAUGAAGGCUCAAACGAAGCGCUAGAUAACCUAAUGACAUACCAGACAAUUCGAUGGGGCCCUUUGUAAAAAAGGAUUGUAAAGGUUCCCUCCGGAGCUUGUGAAAGGGGAAACGAUUGUAAUAAGGGCAGUUGAUCUUCAGCCAUUGAAAAGAAGAUCGAUAGUAAAAGCUAGUGGAGUGUUGGGGAUAAUAUUUAACCACCAAACCAAAUUAAAAACCUCUAUAAAAUAAUAUCAAGUCGGUAAACAUGAGAUAAUAAGAUUGAUCCAUGUGGCCUUCUAUUUACUAGUCAUAUGUGCCCUAUAAGACAUGUGACACGCUGUGCAAUCUUUUUGCUUAUUAUUAUUAUUAUUAUUAUUAUUAUUAUUAUUAUUAUUAUUAUUAUUAUUAUUAUUAUUAUUAUUAUUUCCUCACUUUAUGUUAUAUGUUGUAUAUAUUAUAAUGUCCAUGGAUCUAUGCAAUGAAUCGGAUUGUGAUGAGAUCAUGAUAAUGAAACUGAUUCACCUUUAAACACAAACUCUAAAUAGUCUCGAUCAUAGGUUACUUGAGAGGGAUAUCGAGAUAACCGAAUAGAUUUGUGUAUUGUAUAUUCGUCCAUAUGAUGGAGGUGGCUGGUCUCAUAACUGCUUGUGUGGGGACACUAGGGAUACAUUGCAUGUGCUCAUUGAAGAAUGAGUUUACUGAUUGAUCCGCUCUUUGAAUGCUGGAUGAUUGGUGAUACCUCAUUAUUAAAUAGCUAUUCCAUCAUCUCAGUUGUGUAUUUGGUCCUUAAACUUGGGAUACCAAGGAUAUCCUAUAUAAAUACUCUACUCCUUGAUAUUAGACUUAUGGGUCUAUAAGUUUCAAAUCUAGCACAGUUGGUCAUCGAGAAUAGUAGCCAACCUUACGAGGGUAAUAGUAUCGAUAGAGGGUCAUUCACUCUCGGUGUCAUGAGAGGAAUAUACAAUAUAUUUUUGCUCAAGCAAAUCCCUAGCAAGGGUCAUUCGGAUUGAGAGAGAAAGAGUUUUCCGGAAGAAUCUGAUUAGAGCGAGACUCAAAUAGAUUUUGUAUAGGCUUGAUACCACCAUGUCUAGUAUAUAGUCUUUAGAAUAUUAGAUGGCUGAGGGAUUAUAGAUACAUGGUAACUAUAGAUAGACAAGUCCAAUGGAUUAGAUUCACUUGUAUUGUUUGGGGACUAUAGCGUAGUGGCCUAGUACGUCCGUAGUCGAUGAGUCGAGUAAAUUAUUAUGAAGAUAAUAAUUCACUGAGUUAAAAGGAGUUCUGAUAGGUACAACUCAUGGCCAGCUCGAUAUUAGGCCUAGAGUGUCAUACAAAUAUAUGGUAGGUAUUGCAACAAGUAGAUGUUCGGAUAUGAGAUCUCCGUUGGAGCCCCUAUCUUACUGGAUGUCUGGUAAGCCUCAAAAUUAUUGGAUCUUUUGAGUGAGACACAACACAACUAAAUAGAGAUUAUUGGAUAGAGAUCUACUAAUUUAAGAGAUUUUGGUAAUUAGAUGGAGCUCUAGUACCCAAUAAGACAAGAUCCAUUAUGGUUAAGUGGUAUGAAUCUCUAUAAAUACGAGGGGCUAAAAGGUGGCAUAGGCUAGUCUCCUCUGGGCCGCUCCUAUUCUCCUCCCUCUUAUAUCCUUCCCAAUCGAUAGCCUCAGUUUGGGGCGUGUGGUCAAGAAGAACAACUAGCCCCUUCUUGUUCAUAGUGCAGCUUUAUGGUGCGCAUGGAGAGGAAUAUCUAAUAUGAAUAAAUUAUUAUUUAAUGUUCCUCUACCAAUGAUCUCAUCAUCUAGGAUCAAUGAAAAACUAUUAUUCUUAAAAACUAAUAUAUAUCCAUUAUUUAUCAAACAAAAAAUAAAAAUAAUAUUUUUGAUAAUUAAAGGAACAAAAUAAUUAGCAUAUAAUGUAUGUAAAGCUCCAACAGGCAAUUGUAGGGUGACUUCUCCAACGAAAUAACGUCAACCUUUGUGUCAUUUCCCAUCUUGAGGUCUACCUCGCCUCUCACCAAUCUCUUAGGUUUUGUCGGAACCUGCAAUGAAUUACAGAUAUGAGGUGCAUUAUCGAUAUCCACUAUUCAUGCACUAUCAUAAUUUUUUAACAAAUAGAGAUCAAUCAUGAAUGUACCUAAAGCUUCUCUAAGCUUCUGUUUUGCCUUUCUAUAAUAUAUUUUUUGUAGUUUCUCUUUCGGUGCCCAUCUUUGUCAUAGUAGAAGUAUUAGUCUUUGUCCUUUAUCAAGUUAUUUUUAGCAAUCUUUGCUUUGCCCGAUUUGCCCUUACCCUUGCCCUUCUUAAGGGACUUCGUUGGCUUCCUUUUAUUUUUGGUCUAACCAGCAUAGAAACUGGCUUCUUUUUCUUGAUUGUGCUCUCAGCCUCCCUCAACAUAUUGAAGAGCUCAAGUAGAGUCACCUUAAGCUUGUUCAUGUUAAAAUUCAUAAUGAUGUAUGAAAAGGAAUCUUGGAGAGACUGAAGUAUAAGAUCCACACACAGGUUAUCUUCUAGGAACAUUCCUAGACCCAUGUGCUUCUCUAUCCACUCAAUCAUCUUAAGGAUAUGAUUCUUAAUCAGUGUCCCCUUAGUUAUUCUGGUACGAAAAAGACUCUUAGAUAUCUUAUAUCACUAAGUUCUUCCUUUUUCCUUAAACAAUUUACAAAGAUGCAGGAGAAGGGAUCUAGUAUCUUUCUUUUCAUGCUGCCUCUGUAACUCGGAAGUCAUGGAACCCAACAUAUAAUAUUGAGCGAGAGUGGAGUCAUCUAUGUACUUUAUAUAGCAAGUGAUCUCAUCCUCACUUGCCCCUUCCUUAGGCGUGAGCAUCAUUGUGUCAAGGACAUACAUGAUUUUCUCCAUCGUGCGAAUGAUUCUCAAGUUGUGGAGCCAAUCCAUAUAGUUUGGACCAAUGAGAUGGUUGACAUCAAGUAUGUCAUAUAAGGGAUUUGAAAGCCAAAUGUUUUUGACAAAAGAUGUAACAGAAAUAAAUAACAUGUUUAUUUUGUCAAAGAGUAAACAAUCAAGAUAUCAACUUCUAUCUUAAUCUACUUUUACCAUUUUCUCAUAAAAUACACAACUCCCUCCGGUAUAUGAACCGAAGACCCACCGGUGGAUCUCUAGUGGCGAUCAGGAUCUAAUCGAUGUCUUAGUGUAACCUCGAGGGACUCAACUAAUCACACUAAGCCCGAAAAGGUAGCCAACUCUUGUUGAUUAUAACUCUUUGUGAUUCUCAUUAUGUUCAACCUCCGAACCAUCAUGGCCUCGAGAGACUUGACCAACCAUAAUGUUCGGUUAAAUCAUCACUAUCGUUACUUUUUUGCCAAAAAUUAAACAAUCAAGUUAUGAACUUAUAUCUAAAUCUACUCCCACUAUUUUUCUCACGAAAAAUAACUUCCUUCUGUAUGUGAAUUGGAGAACCCUCGGUGGAUCUUUAAUGGGGAUCGGGAUCCAAUCAAUGUCUUAAUAUAACCUCAAGGGACUCAACCAAUCAUAGUAAGCCCGAAAAGGUAGCCAACUUUUAUUGAUCAUAACUCUUUAUGAUUCUCAUCUUAUUCUGCCUCUAAACCAUUAACCAACCACUAUGUUCGGUUAAGUCAUCACUAUCAUUAUAAGAUAAGUUUGAUUUGAUGAUACGCCCUCGAGGGACUCGACUAAGCAUACCAUGUUCUCAGGUCACUUGACAUCUCUGUGUCAUAGGCAAUAUCUCAAAUCGCAAUAUAGGUGAGCCUCGAGUGACUUGACCAACUCAACAUAUGUUAGAAAUUGAUUUCUCUUUAUAACAAUGGAAGGUCGUGUUGGUCAAUCUAAUUACCUCACUCUUACCGACUUAAUAUUAUCAUGAGAGGAUUUUGAUUCGAUCUCCUAAUAUGACAUGUCACACAUACAUAUUAAAUAUAUAUCUGCAUCAUAUAUAUAUAUAUAUAUAUAUAUAUAUAUAUAUAUAUAUAUAUAUAUANNNNNNNNNNNNNNNNNNNNNNNNNNNNNNNNNNNNNNNNNNNNNNNNNNNNNNNNNNNNNNNNNNNNNNNNNNNNNNNNNNNNNNNNNNNNNNNNNNNNNNNNNNNNNNNNNNNNNNNNNNNNNNNNNNNNNNNNNNNNNNNNNNNNNNNNNNNNNNNNNNNNNNNNNNNNNNNNNNNNNNNNNNNNNNNNNNNNNNNNNNNNNNNNNNNNNNNNNNNNNNNNNNNNNNNNNNNNNNNNNNNNNNNNNNNNNNNNNNNNNNNNNNNNNNNNNNNNNNNNNNNNNNNNNNNNNNNNNNNNNNNNNNNNNNNNNNNNNNNNNNNNNNNNNNNNNNNNNNNNNNNNNNNNNNNNNNNNNNNNNNNNNNNNNNNNNNNNNNNNNNNNNNNNNNNNNNNNNNNNNNNNNNNNNNNNNNNNNNNNNNNNNNNNNNNNNNNNNNNNNNNNNNNNNNNNNNNNNNNNNNNNNNNNNNNNNNNNNNNNNNNNNNNNNNNNNNNNNNNNNNNNNNNNNNNNNNNNNNNNNNNNNNNNNNNNNNNNNNNNNNNNNNNNNNNNNNNNNNNNNNNNNNNNNNNNNNNNNNNNNNNNNNNNNNNNNNNNNNNNNNNNNNNNNNNNNNNNNNNNNNNNNNNNNNNNNNNNNNNNNNNNNNNNNNNNNNNNNNNNNNNNNNNNNNNNNNNNNNNNNNNNNNNNNNNNNNNNNNNNNNNNNNNNNNNNNNNNNNNNNNNNNNNNNNNNNNNNNNNNNNNNNNNNNNNNNNNNNNNNNNNNNNNNNNNNNNNNNNNNNNNNNNNNNNNNNNNNNNNNNNNNNNNNNNNNNNNNNNNNNNNNNNNNNNNNNNNNNNNNNNNNNNNNNNNNNNNNNNNNNNNNNNNNNNNNNNNNNNNNNNNNNNNNNNNNNNNNNNNNNNNNNNNNNNNNNNNNNNNNNNNNNNNNNNNNNNNNNNNNNNNNNNNNNNNNNNNNNNNNNNNNNNNNNNNNNNNNNNNNNNNNNNNNNNNNNNNNNNNNNNNNNNNNNNNNNNNNNNNNNNNNNNNNNNUCACAUGAGCAAUCACACCAAAUGAUCAUGGACCAUAGCCUAAUAUGAUCAAGCUUGAGCUAGUGGGCCUAAUCACUCACAUCACAAUCUAUGUGUGCAUCGACACAUAUCCAUGCCUUGUGAUCGUCUAUCUCAUCCUCAUCAAUUCCACUAGCAUUUCAUCACAUCUCGAUGCAUCACGAUCAUCCAUCUCGGCCUCAUGGGUCCUGCUAUUUCCUCAACACUCCUAUUGUGCCUCCUCGUGCGAUUACAAUAUAAUCACAAGCACAUAGGCCUACUGAUAAACAAGAAAAAAUGGAGACUCGCAUGCCCCAAUAAUAAUAAUAACCACAUAAUAUAUACACAUACAUCACAUUACACAAUUCAUGAUCAUCCGUCCACAUCAUACAUCACAUGUACACAUCAUCAUAUAGGACUACUAGAUAAUAAUAAGAAUAAUAAUAAUAAAUAAAUAAAUAAUAUUUAAUUAAUUACUUUAUAGAAUUUUUGGGGUACCCUAUCCCAAGGUGCCCCAUGCGACUAAGAAUCCUUAGCCAUAAGACAGCUUUGGGUGGCCAGGAAUCCCUAGCUCCCAAGGACCCCUUUGUAGCUAGAAAAUCCUAGUCACUAGCUUGGCCCAUGAAGUAGGAGCCGCAUGGACACCUAUGCGGCUAAGAAACCCUAGUUGCAGGGGUUCCCAUGCAACCAGCAAUCCCUGGCUAUAGGGGCUCUGGUAUGCCUAGCCGAGAGAAGCAUGGCUACUCUCGAUUUGUUAAGGUUGCAAGCAACCUUUGGCCGAUCCAUAGGGCAACAAUAGUUGCUAUCCUUUUCUCUCUCUUAUACAUCAACAAUUUUAAUGUCAAAAGCCUUUUCUAAAAUGCCUCUCAAUAGCAAGAUCCAAAUCUGAAGAAACUACGACAAAAAUCACAACAUCGCAUAUAAAAUAAUUCUACGUUUUUCAUCAAAGCACGUAAUUUAAAAACCAAUCGUCACACGAAUCAAACUAGCUUUGAUACCACUAUUGGGAAGUUUAAUCAGAGUAUCAUAUGGCAGUGGAAGAACAGAAAACAAAAACAUAGAUUUCAAAAAAAAAGGAUCUCAUCGUCGUAUGAAGAUUAGUGUGCAAAACACAAAAAUCAAAAAUCAUGUAUAUCAAGUGAGAUUUGUUACCUAAGGAGAUCGUACACCUCUGAAAGUUCCUAGAUCUAUAGGAGUGGAUGAAUGAGGUCAAUUGUCCUCAUCUUUAGCGGUGAUCCAUAUGGUAGAUGUGGCGAAGAUGCUCCUCAAAUUACUACACGAUCUUUCUCUUCACACGCACCACGUGAUCAAGAAGGGGUCAGCCCUUUCUACUAUCCAUACGCCCUCAACUAGGGCUAUCGGCAGAGGAGGAGAUGAGAGGGAAGAGAAUAAGAGGUACGGCCAAGAGGUGACUAGCCUAUGCCACCUUUUGGGCCCUCCUAUUUAUAGACGUUCUAACCACUUAACCUUAUUGGAUCAUGCCCUAUUGGGUACUGGAUCUCUAUCUAGUUACCCAAGCCUUUUAGAUUAGUAGAUCUCUACCAAAUAGUCUCUCAUUAGCUCUUAUUGGAGCUUAUCCAUAAGAUCCAAUAAUUUAUGGGCUUACAUGAUAUCUAAUAAGAUAGGGGCUUCAACGGAUAUCUCAUAUCUGAACAUUUACUCGUCACAACACCUACCAUAUUUAUGUGACCCUCUAGACCCAAUAUCAAGCUAGGCAUGAGUCGUACCUAUUAGAACUCCUUAUGCCUCAAUGAAUUAUUAUCUUCAUAAUAAUUCACUCGACUCAUCGACUAUGGACAUACUAUACCACCACGCCGUAGUCCCCAGACAAUACAGGAGGAUCAAAUCUAUUAGACUUGUCUGUCCUUAAUUAUCAUGUAUCUAUAGUCUUUUAUCCAUCUAAUACCUCAAAUACCAUAUAUCGAGUAUGGUACUAUCAGGCCCACACCGAAUCUACUCAGGUCUCACUCUAAUCGGAGUCUCCAAGAAAACUCUCUCUCUCAAUCACAAUGACCCUAGCCAGGGAUUUGCUUAAACAAGAAUACAAAAAAUAUUUCUCUCAUGAUACCAAGAGUGAAUGAUCCUCUAUCAACACUCAAUUACCCUCGUAAGAUUUACUACCACUCUCAAUAAUCAGUCGUGCUAGAUUUAGAACUUCCAUACAUAUAAGUCUAGUAUCAAAGAAUAGAGUACUCAUACAUGAUGUCUUUGGUGUUUCAAGUCUAAAGAAUAUACAUACAACUAGGACCACGAAAUUGAUGUUUGACAAUGAGGUAUCAUCAACCAUCCAGCAUUCUAUGGGCAAAUCAAUCAGUGAACUUAUUCUUCAAUGAGCACCUGCACUAUAUUCAUAGUGUCCUCACAUGAGCAGCCAUGAGACUAGCCACCUCCAUUAUAUGGAUGAGUAUCUAGCAUAUCAGUCUGUCUGGUUAUCUCGAUGUCCCUCUCAUGUAACUUAUUACUAGGAUUAUUUAAGGUCUGUGUUUAAAGACGAAUCGAUCUCAUUAUCGUGAUCUCAUCAUGAUCCAACUCCUAUUGGACAGAUCCAUAGACAUCACAAUAUAUACAAUAUACAACAAAAAAUGAGAAAAUAUUAAUAAUAAGUAAAAAAAUUACGUAGCAUGUCACACAUGCCAUCACUCACGUGAUUGGCUUGCAGGGCACCUAUAACUAGUAGGAUCUACACUCUUAUGGGAUAUAUGAUCUCCCCUAAGUGAGGUUAUAUCAUAUAUCUUACGUAGUUUUUGGUUUUUCAUAAGUUUUAUGCUCUCGAUCUUCGCAUAACGAUUCAAUAUGAUUCUUUUGGGAAACCUGUUUUGUUUUUAUUUUUUCAUUGCACAUGUGAUGCCCUUUGUGAUUUCCCAAUAAGAUCACCUUAAUGAGCCGACCCUCAAUCUUCUCACUAUUAAGGUGAUUGGACCAUACAGGCUUUCCUACACGAUGUGGUUCACGAGGGCAUUGAUUAGGGUGGACUUGCUAAAGUCAUUCGUCCAAGCACUAUGAAGAUCUCUACUUCUCUCACCUUACCAGAGAUGGAAUUCAACGGCAUCUAGAUCCUAGAGAUCACCUUUGACAUCCCAAGGUCGAUGGUAAGGUCGUUCUUGCAUAAGAGUGAUAGCUUUCAGUGCUUCUUCACAUUGUACAAGAGAUUAAUGAAGAUGAGGAUGAAAAUGACGGAGGCAGAAGGCCAAGUGGUCACCGGUCACUUUUAGGGGCAAAGUCAUUGAGCUCAAGGACAUGGUGCUUCAAGGAGGCGUAGCCAUUGCCCUCGGUGACAUCAGCACUUUGAGCGUUGUAAACAUGCUUGAAGAGCUAGUCAAGGGUGAUGGACUUUACACUGCCACCACCUCUAGAGUCAUAGUUAACAAUAGCUCAGGGACUAUGGUGGCUGAGUAGGCCAUCACAGUUGAUGUCCUCUGCCUCUACCAUUAGGAAGGAUUACUAGUCGAAUAAGAAUAUUUUAUCCAUGAACCGAGCAUGGUAUCGCUUCGUUAUCCCCUUUUAUCUUGUUGUGUUCUCUUGUUGGUCGUUGAUGCCAAUGAUGGGUGAGUUGCUAAUCGUGGCUGAGAUAGUGGUGUCGCUUAUUGGGCUAGCUGGGGCAAAAGCGAAAUAACAGCUUCCAUUGUGCCCAUUAAUGUCUGCACCUGUUGGGUGAGGUUUAAGAACACCUCAGCAAGGACAAGCAAGUGGCUAGAGGUUGCCUCAACGGGCAAGAGGCCUAAGUCAUUGAAUAGAUGCUCGUACCAUGUUGGUAUUUAAACUGAGGUGGAUGUAUUCAUAUAUAAAAAAGGCCUCAUUGCUUAAGCAUUCGUUGAGAGGGUUGAUACGCGGAUGACAUUGGGCCUUUCCUCCACCACUAAAAUGUUAGAGAAAAAUAUUAUUGACGUAUUGGUUAGCACGACAUGAUCUAGACCCAUGUGUAUAAGAUUGUCCGAAGUUUCUUUGAGGUGAAAAUAUCAUGAUCCCGAGAUGUUAUCUAUGUGAAGACCAAGGUCAAAAGAGGUUUCGUGACUAAGUCCUUCCGACGCUCAAGUUAGUAAUCUAAAAUUCUCAAAUGUGAGUUAAAAAAGUUCAAAAGAAGUCUCUUACAUUGAAUAUGUAUUUUUAUAUUGAUAAGAAAGAAAUUUGUGAUUGUCUUCUUCAUCAUAAUGGAUGAGAAUAAUGCUUAUGAUUGUUUUUCUUAUCAUAAAGGAUAAAAAAGAAGUUUGUGAUUACCUUUCUUAUCAUAAUAAAUGAGAAAGAAAACUUAAAACUUAUAUUUGUAUGGUUUGUCCUAACGGAAGGAGAGUGACUCUAUCACGUGGCGUUCGGUUGACAUUGUGUUUCUUAUCAACUUCGUCAUGAUUAUUUUAUAUAAAUAAAAGUCUUUUAAAAUCCCUAAAUAAAUUGGAUGUGAACAUUAAAAAAAUAUUGUUUUCAUUUUCAAUCACAUUAGUUAGAACGAUCAUCCAUCUAACUCGAUCGUUCUCAUUGACUCGUAUUCACUCGUUCCCUUCGAACCAGGAGGAGAAGAAACUUAAUAGAGCACUGAACGAGAUCGGUUUACACACUUUACUGCAGGGAAGACCAUGCAUUUUUAUGCUUAGCUGCAUGUAUUGCCAAGAACCGAUAAUUAAGAUGGCUAAAAAAACGUCGAGAUUAAUGCAACGAUUGCCAAAAAGAGCUCUUAUCCACGUAUUGUUCGUCUGGACGAAGUCAAGAAAGAAAACCGACGCGACGGUCUCUGUUCCUUUACCUUUUUAUCCAUUAGUUCGACCCGUAUAUAAGCACAACCGCUCCUUCCUCUCGACGGCAGGCGGGCAGAUACUUGGGGAGCUCCGCCCUCGAAGUAUCUUCUUAGGUUUCCUCCUUUCACUCCGUUCACAAGCCAAAGUUCAUGCACACGCUUCUCUUAGAUUAGCAAAGCAAACGAGGAGCGUAAAAAGAUGACGAAUAAGGCCGUCUUGGGUGCUCUCUCAGCGGUCCUUGUGGCGGCCGUGAUAGGGGCGGCGAGUGACGAUUCCCUUGUCGCCUCCUCCAAGUCCGUGACGGACAUCUGCGCCUCCACUGACUACGCUGAUGUGUGCGAACGGACCCUCAAUGCUGCCAUCAAUGGCUCUGCCUCUCCCAAGGAGAUCAUCCAAGCUUCCUUCAUGGCAGCCAUCAGAGAAAUCGAAGCUGCCUCCCACCUGUCCAACAACGUGAGUUUGAAAGCCACUGACUCGAUGAACAAGGAUGGGUUCGACAUUUGUCGUCGACUCUUCGAGGAUGCCACUGAGGAGCUACAAGCUGCCUUCUCGGAGACUCAUGACCUUGACGGUUUGGCGAGAAGGACCGAUGACAUCAAGUGCUGGCUUUCAGCCGUCAUCUCCUACCAGCAGACCUGCCUCGAUGGCAUCACUCAAACCGACCUGCACUCGACCAUGAAGGACGGCCUUGUCACGGCCUCUCAGGUCACCAGCAAUGCCAUUGCCAUCGUCGAUGGGCUCAGUUCAUUAUUCAAGAACUUCCAAGUCCCCAUCAACGUGACCAAUAUCGCCAGCCGCCGGCUACUGUCUC
This 69077-nucleotide long non-coding RNA is filed under the name Musa acuminata (dwarf banana). Its description in RNAcentral is "long non-coding RNA (MACU_LNC003659)". Lineage: Eukaryota; Viridiplantae; Streptophyta; Magnoliopsida; Zingiberales; Musaceae. The record is from RNAcentral.